This 70137-nucleotide long non-coding RNA is filed under the name Citrus maxima (pomelo). Its description in RNAcentral is "long non-coding RNA (CMAX_LNC001172)". Lineage: Eukaryota; Viridiplantae; Streptophyta; Magnoliopsida; Sapindales; Rutaceae. The record is from RNAcentral.
UAAGAUUAAACUUCAGUAAAGUUGUUUCAGUUAUCCAUGUAAUCAGGCUAAGGAUAUUUAGCAGCUUAUUUAGGCAACUGCCAGAAUUUAGUUUGUUCGCUCGAAACUUGUAUGGUGACAAGGAUACUGGCAAGGAUAGUGAGAUAGUUUUUUGUGUGAGUGAAUUUUGAAAGCUUGGGUGUUCUGGGAUUUGCAAUUGCAAUCAUCCUCUGCUUUAGGUGAUUUCUUCUCCUGUUCUGUCUUUAUUUUCUCUCUAAUUGAAAGCAUUUCAAUCAAAUUCUGUACCAGGAAUACGAAAAAUUUACUAAUAUUUUAUUUCCAUCUGUUUGCAUUGAUAACUUGGCCGCAUAUGUACUAGUUAAAGAACAAACAGAAGCAGAGUUCAGGAAAAAGUUUCUUCGGCCACCAUAUUUGAAAAUGAAACCAAUUCCAGGAAGCAGUUGGCAGCAAAUUCAUACAAAGUAUAGACAAUGAUGUGCAAAAAGGUGAUUCGCAAUUUCAUUUUUUUAAAAUGAAAUUAUUUGUUAAGUUGGAGCUGAUAUUGUUAGAAGGCCAUUGAGCUAACCUAUGACACUGCUUGCCUAGAUUGCAGGAGGUCAAGGCUCAAAAGAUGCACUGAAUUUUAAAAGGCAUGCAAUAAUUCUUAUGGCCAUUUGUCAAUGGUGGAAUGCUUUUAGCUUCUUUUCCUUUCGUGCAUUUUGGGGUUCUAUCAAGCGACAGCCGUAUGUAUGGAUGGAUAUAGCUGCUGCGUUGAUUUCUAAUGCGGUGGAGUAAUCGUCGUUAGAAUCUGAAUGAUAUGUCUAAGACGUUGCAUGCAUCAAGAAAAUUGCAGAUGAUUAAACCUUGCCAUCUAUGCGUUGUAUGAGGUUAUAGCAACUAUCUAUCUGGUCACCGUUUUAAAAGAAUAAGACAAAGGGAAAAAGAGAAAGAAAAGAAUGAUUCGACAAUGGCAUUAAAGUUCAACAUACCCCAAGAUCUUGUAAUAAUGCCAUUAAUCAUUUCUAGCUAGGCUAGCCUUAGAGAAAAGUGAAACUGUUGCACAGGUAGAAUCACACCCCUCAGAGAUAAUGUGUUUUUAUUCAGCUCUUCGAAUGAAUGAAGUUUAUUUUCUCGUCAAAAAAAAAACUGCUCGUUCCGCUGGUUUCAUACAAUGUCAACUAGAAACAUCAUACUUUCGUAUAAGUUCAUUAUUGUUUCUUGGAAAUAUCAGAAUAUUUCUUAGAGUUUGUAUAAAAUGAAAAGAUUUUAAAAUAUAAAUUUAAUAUUUGUUUAUUACCGUUGUUUGGUCUAAUUUCCUCGGGAGAAUUUUCAGAAUUUAUAGGACAUUAGUUUAUAAUUUGCGCAUUGACAUAUAUCUUAUUUUAUCAUUUUGAAUGAAUUGCACGGCGAGGCUUAUCAACUUUGGAUGAAUCCUCCAAUUGUCGCAGUCCAAGACUGGCUGCAGUGAGUGAAAAUUUACCCAUAUAUAUGCUGGCUAUUUUUAUUGGCGACGAAUUCGUUGUAGUUGGUCCAUCUUGCUAUUCUCGGACAAUAUUAGAGAAAAUAAUCAUAUUAUUUCGCGUGAUGUGACCUUCCAUAACUUAUCAAUUGAAUUACUGUAAAAUUAUUGUGUAAGUUUAGGCCCAAUGGCACUUUAGUUCGAUAGCCUGGAUUUAAAAGGAAAACUAUAUUGCAUUGCUUCAAAAAAAAAAAAUUAAUGUUUUUAAUAUGAAUAUUCUUAACUAUAUUCAGUUAAAAUAAUAUAUUCUUAAUAUUAAUAUUCAUAGAUGAAAUUCUUUUGUGGAUUUAAGAAUAAAAUAUCAAAUAGUUUUAUUUUUCUUUUGUUGUGUAACUUGGACCGAAAAAGAAAAUGAGCUUAACAUGACCCUCCUUCCGGCACUAUGCAUGUUUUUCUUUUAUUGAUGACAGUGCUCUUGGUGCUUCUCAUCUGCUUCUUGCUUUGGUUUCAAACAAGUCUUUCUCCGUCGAGACAUUUAUUGUAAUUUGAUUUGGAGACAUCUGUCGUUCAAAUAUAUUUCAUAUGCAAGCUGUUGAUAAUUCUGCUUGAGAAAGCCUACAAAGCAGCUGUGUGAUGUAAUAGAAGACUAUAUAUGCAAACGGUCAUCAGUUUCUCUUGAAUUCUUUCUUGAGUUUCUUUGAAUUAUUUGUGAAUGAGUUCUUAAUCGGCUGCUGCUCUUCAGGAAAAGGAAAGUGUUGCAAACUGGUGAAGCUGAUCGAUAAAAGCAAUGUACCAUCUUUGCUGGCAUGGAUCGAUGCCAGUGAGUUUUUUUAUUUGUCAACCUUUUUAAUAAUGCAUAUGUUUUUCUUCAACUUGAAGCGGCAUAUAAGACGAAAGAAGUGAUCUUUAAAGCAUUCUAUGGCAUUAUCCUUUCCUAUUAUAUAUAUCCAAUUGCUCCAAAUUAUUUGUAAAUUACUGAACACGAAUGCUGAUGAAUAAACUGAUGGCUCUAUGUAUGUAUGCACAUGCAUGGAGAAAUUUUAAGUCAGACAUUCUCAUAUAUAACUCGUGGGACCAAAUCAUUAAAUAAUCUUGAAAUCAAAGUAAUAAUUAAAUACAAAUAAAUUGCUCGAAUUGUACAUAUAUCUGAAUCAUGUAGUGAAGAAAAUACAACAACAACAACCAAUGGCUCAAAUUCCCCAUCAACUUCUAGUCUCAACACUUUUGAGUGUCAGAAGCAUUACUCUGCUACCAGUUAACAAACAUAUAAUUAGUAAUUUGCCAUUCACUUCCCUUUUAGGCCUAACACAUUUUCUAUAAAGGAGCCACAGAGUGAACUCAGCAGGAAACACUCAAUUUCAACCUACGUAGGACCAGGAAUUUCAACAAAAAAAAAAGUGUGCAAUUGCUUAUCCUAUCCUAUUGCUACUAGAAAGAAAGUGAACAAUUAAUUUCAGUGAAUAAAUUAAAAAAAAUUACUUCUGCAGAUACUCAAGCUAAGAACACAUUAACCCAUUAAAGACUCCAAAUUGCAUCAAACAAAUUGUUGUUAAACAAGUAAAACAAAGAAAGAGAGUUAAGGAAGCUGACCUAGUAGUAGGGGAGCUGAAGAAAGACUGCCAGUGAAUGUAAGAGAAAAUAAAAUGCAAGAAAUGGUGAAGUGCAGCUUUUCAUGUCAACUUGAAAUUGUUUCUUCUGUUUUUUGUAAUCUUUUGGAUUUUUCAAACAAAGAAAAUGAGGAGCAACCAGGGAGAUAAAAAGGGCGCCAAGGCAACUGUGUGUUGGGUUUAGAGCCAAAAAAAAAAAAGAAUAAGACAUCGUGUUCUUGUGGAGACCAGACCUAUUACGUAUAGGGAUGGCAAUGGGGCGGGGUGGGGGUGGGGAUGCCUACCCCAUUCCCCACCCCAUUAAAAAUUUUUGCCUCCAUUCCCCACCCCAUUCCCCAAUAAAUUUAGUGGGUUGGGGAUGGGGAAUCCCCACGUGGGGAAUGAUUCUCCCAUCCCCACCCCAUUCCCCAUUUACAUAUUUUAUAGUAGAUAUAAAAAUAUGAUUUCAGUAAAUUAAAAAUUAGAGACUUAAGAUAAAAUCAUCACAAUAUUAUAAAGUAUUUAAUUUUAAAAAAAAAUCUCUAAAAAUUUGAAACAAUAUCUUAAAAUGAUAUUAAAAGUGAAAAAUAUUUAAAGAAAGCAGCACCUUAAAAGAGAAAAGAAAAUAUAUUAAUGUUUUAAAGUUGAAAAAUAUUGUAGAAUUUUCUUUUAUUCAUAUUCUAUUUAUAUUACAUAAAAAUUAAAAAAAAUUAUUAAUUGACAUUAUAGUUGAUAAAAUAUAAAUUAUUAAAUAAGAAUUAAAAACAUAUUUAUAUAUAAUGGGGAUUGGGGUGGGAGUGGGGUGGGGAGUGCAAUACCAAACCCCACCCCGUUAACAAUUUGGGGAUUAUUUUUUCCCCACUCCCCACCCCAUUCCCCAAAAAUUAUUAAAAAAUUUCCCCAUUUGGGGUGGGGCUCCAUGGGGCCCCAAACCCGUGGAGGAUUUUGCCAUCCCUAAUUACGUAACGUCCCCUUCAAUACCACUUGUUCCGUAUCUGGUUUUUUCUUCGUCUUUUACAUAUUUAUCCUGUGAUUUUACAAUAACUAAAUAAUCCCCGCAUAGUUUGCAAUUUUAUUCAUUUGGGCCCUACAGAUUUCAGUAAUAGGAAUUAUUAAGGGACAAGAGCGCAAAACAGAAACUCUGUCCACUACUGAUGAUAUAACAACGAACCUUUGUAGUUUCUGCCUGUUAAUAUGAAUUGAUCAGGAGUGUUUCCUCACUUACAAAUUACGAAUUUACAAAAUAUGUAUGUAAGUAUGUGUGUACGUACGUGUGUAUGUAUGUACAUAUAUGCAUACACCUAUGUAACAUUUACUUAUACAUUCUUUUGAGUUUAAAUCUUAAUACACAUUUUCAUGAAAUUUUUAUUUUAUUAAGUAUACAACUACAUACAACUACAUUAAUGUAUAUAUUUUUUAUAUAAGACAUGCCGUCCUAUUAUUCAUAAGUAAACAAUGUGUUGUAAAUAGUAUUCUGUGUUUUCUCAAAGUUGACUUUUCGUCUUUUAUUUUCAGACGCAGACGCUAUGUCAUUUUGUAAUCUUCAAAACAUAUGCAGAGCAGAAUUGGUGUUAUAUGAUUUUGUGAUGCAAUAAGAUUUGCACUUCCUGUGCACUCAAUGGAAUCAUUUCUUUGUAACUAAUUGGGUGGUGGAAUGGUGGUCAAAUAUCGAACGAAGACAGAUCUAUCAAACUCCAGAAACAGGGAAACCAUGCCACGCUAGUAGACAAUAUGCUAGUAUGAACAAACUUGUUUGAAUGGCAAAAACGACAUGACCUGCUGUAGUAUUAGUUCUUUCCCGAACCAAAGGGUGAUUUGCUACGUUAGAUCAUGAAAAUUGAAAAAAAAAAUUAACCAAAAUAAAAAUUCUUACGGUAAGAAUAAAAAUUCUUAAGGAAUUAGUUAGUUAAUUGAUUGAUCGAAUUUAAUCUAAAUUGGAAAAUGAUAAGAUAAUUUUGAAUUUUUUAUUAUAAUUAUUAUUUUAAAGUGGGGUGGGUUUAUACAAUUUGAGGCUUUGAGCGGUGUAAAUAUCACUGCUGAAUUAUUAAAUAUACAGUGUAAAAUUUUGACCUUUAAAAUAUUCCUUUUUUUCAUUUAGCACUAUAAGUUUAAAAAUUUAACAUUUUACCUCAAUAAUUAAAUACUUUUAACUUUAAUCUUCAAAUAUUUACCCUACAACAUUCGGACCUAAAUUUUUAAUCCGACUCGGCCCCUGACCCAAGUGGGAAGAAGAUCAGGCUUAUAAGUUAUAACUAUCACCAACAUAACAUCUUCUGGAAAAUAAUAAGAUUACUCACCUGCAAUUAUGUGAUCAAACUAAUGGUAAGCAAAAUAGAACAGCGUUAUUUCAGUCCCCUUUCAGUUUCUUUAUCAUUUUUCUUUUCCUAUUUAUAAGCUUAAUUCGGUCCAAUAUCGGCUAAUUCACUUUGAUUUCACUUUUCUUUCUUUCGGUUCAAAAAAAUUGAACCCAUUGGCUGUCAAUUCAAUUUUGUUGAAAACCAACUUUGCCUGAAUUUGAGUAAUAAUAGAGGAAAAAAAAAGUGUACUUAGCAGAAGAGAUUUCUCAUUUUUUUCUCAUUCAAACUUCUAAAAUAAAGGGAAAAAAAAAACAAGAGUAAUUGUUAAUUAUCAAAAAUUUGUUUAUACUAUUCCACCAAGAAAAUUAUAAAAAAAAAAUUUAAAAAUUGGAGAAGAAAUAUGAGGUGAAAUACGUGGAUGGCUUAGACUAAUAAUGUGAACAAAUUCCUCUCGGAAACAUGUCAUUGUUCAUCCGGACAACACGCGGCAAUGAGAUUCAAGAAUUAAAUGAUAGGAAUCAACUGUAACCUCAUAAACAAAUGGCCUUGGAGUUGUAAACACCAAGCUCGGCAGAUUAAUUAAACAAGAAUAUCCGAAUUUUCUAUGAUAAUCUCUAGGAAACGAUCAGCUAUAAUAUACGAAAUUAAAAUAUUGCAUAUAUUUUUGAACUCAUGCAUUAAUUUCAAAAAUUAUAUCGUAUUAUAAUUUAUUCACAAAAGAAAGAAAAAUUCACUAAUCAAUUGAAUAAAUAUAAGUAUUUCAUCCAGUGUAAUACUUAUAUCAAUUGAAUAAAUAUAAGAAAAAUCACCAAAAUUCACUAAUCAAUUGGAUAAAUAUAAGUAUUUCUUCCAGUGUAAUUUUUGUUUAAUAGAAAAUCUAUUUGAGAUUUUGUGAGAAGAAACUCAACAAUAAAGUGUGAUAGACUUUGUGGGUAUUAAGAGUUUGACAAGUAUUUGAAAUCUGAAGUUUACGAGCAAACAAACUGAAAUCCGAAGUUUACUGAAGUUUACUAUCAAGAGUUUCAAAACAGUGAAAAAGAUGAUAUAGUUGAUGACAAAAACCUGAGUUAUCCAUAGCGACAAGUAACAUACUGAAGUAAGCCGUUGGGAGCUGGCCUGUUCAUGGGCUAUUUUUCUCUGAUGAUCUGCAUUUUUCUUCCUUUUAAGUGAACCUUGACUCGUAUCAAACCUGUCAAAAGAACAGUUCAUCAACUGAGCUGAGAUUUGCUUUCCUUUUUCAAAACCCACCUGAGAUAUUGUAAUUCCCAAAUUUCUCUCUCUCAGCUACACGAGCAAGCAGCCGCUUUUUCACUUCAUCGAAGAAGGUAAGCGAUAUAUCUAUUUCGUCCGAUUGAUUUCUUGUUUCCUUUUCAGUGUUCCGGUAAAUUAUUGGCAUGCCUGACUUUUUGACCAUUACACGAUUCAUAAAUUUAUAUUAAUUUUGAUUUUGAGUUGACCGUUUACUUUUACAGGUUUGCUUACUUUGACUAGGUGACCAAUUUCUUGUAACUAAAUUUAUGACGUGGGCAGGAUAUGAAAUGAGAAUCUUAUUAGUGGAAGGAUUGCCAGUAACAGAACCCAAAGAAAAUGAAACCAUUUCAAGGCAGCAGUUGGCAGUUGGCAGUGAAUGGAGGCCCCUGACAAAACUUCAGUAAACUUCAGAUUUCAGUUUGUUUGCCCGAAAAUUGCAUGGUGACAAGGAUACUGGCAAGGAUAAUGAGAUAGUUUUUGUGUGAAUGAAAUUACGAUCAUCCUCAGCCUCGGGUAAUUUCUUCUCCUGCUUAGUUGUUAUUUGUUACCUAAUUAAGAAGCAUAAAGUAUCUUGAAUCAUUUUCGUUGUCCGGAAUAUAUGCAACAGUUUUUUACGAUCAUCCUGAAUGACUACUAGAGACAGUCAAGCUAAUGACUAUAAAUUAAGCGCUUCUUGGGAGGUAACCCAAGCUUUCUAAACUUUAUUAUUGUCAAUUUUUUUUCAUAUUUUUUUCUUUUCUUUUACUUAUUUUAUUUUGUUUUAUCUAGAUUUUGCACGAGUUCGAGGGUCGAUGAACAUCAACUUUCCACAUGUCUUUCAACGGCUUAGCUACAACUUUACAUCUUCAAGUGCAAAACCGGGGGAGUUUCUCUUUUCCUUUUCUUUUUCUUUACAUUGAGGACAAUGUUUAUUUUAAGUUUGGGGGUGGGAAUAUUUGCUUUUCAUUUUUUUCCCAAAAAAAAAAGAUUUUAAUGCCUAUGAUGAGUUUAUGAUUGAAAAUGAAUAUGGUUCUUAGAAAGGGAUGAAUAUUAUCUUAGUUUAUACUUGAUUCUUGUGUUAGUUUCGUCUUGAUUGAGAUUCUUUAAAGCGAUUCUUUUAGAAUUUUGACUUGAGAUUUGAGAUUGAUACAGCCUAAGUUGAGAAUUUUAGAUUGAGUAAAUGAUUGUUUGCCUCGAUUCUACAUUACUUAAGUUUACCCAGGCACCAUAGUCAGAAAUAGCUACCUACAACCCUUAAGAGUGAAGCUAUCCUCGAGUAAUUUGGGCCUAUGUAUCACCAGUAUGUAGAGGAUAAUCUACCAUGAGAAGAAGGUUACCUUAAGGGGUAGAGUGAAAGCUCCUGACUAUGGACAAAGAAAUGAAAAAAAAAAAGAAAAAAAAAAGAGCACGAGCUUCAAGAAAAAUCAAAAGAAAAUGCUAAUUUAUGCCUGAGAAAAAAAAAAAAAGAUCAAGAUGAUGAGGUUAGUUUGACCUACCCUGUUUAUUAUUCGAGACAAGGGCUGUUGAUGUUGAAGAUCUUGAGAAUGAGUUUUGAUUGAAUUGAUUCACACACAACACAUGAAUCCAAUAUGAGAUGAGGCUGACCAUUGAAUUAAAGUUAGAACUUUGCUAGUAUUUUUAAUUUUCUUUGAGCUAUAUACUUUAUGCAAUCUUUGAGGCAUUUUUUAUGAUGUUUGUGGGUAUCAUCGCUGGAAACCCUCACGAGACUAUAACUCGUCCACUAGGGCCGCCUAGGGGUUUAAAGGCUUGUUGCAUACGCUAAAUGCAAUCGCGAUCACCUGCGAAAGUGGUUUAGUUAGAAUUUUCUUUUCGUAGUUUUUAUUUUAGUUUUUGCUCGAGGACUAGCAAAAUGUUAAGUUUGGGGGUAUUUGAUGUGCUCAUAAUUUAUCUAUUAUUUUAAUGCUUCCAUAACUUAAUUUUAUGUUAAAUUAUAUUUUAUUAUAUUAAUUUUUAUCUUAAUUUUUAUAUUUUGUCAUUGUAGGAAUAUUGAGAAUAUUCAUGAGAAAAGAAGCUUAAAGAGGAAACAAGUUGGAGUAUAAUGGAAAUAAUGUGGAAGCAAGAGGGAAAGAAAUAAAAAGCCAAAUCAAAGAAAAUUUAAUUUAAGCAUCAUGCAUGCAGUCACGUGAUGAAUAAAGGAAGAGAAGAAAAGGUCAAUAGGCUUUUAAUUUCAAGCUAGUUACGUAGAGCCCAUUUGACAAUUUAAAUGGCAAGCUUACAAUAUAUUAAAGGAAGCAAAUAUUUUGGCAUUGUUUGAAAAGGCUAUUCACGUGGAUGGGCUUUGGUUUCAAUUUUGAUUGGCUUAGGAAUGAAAUAGGCGGCUGGGCUUUUGUUUUUAAUUCCUUUCAUAAGAGGAUUUGACAAGCCACAACAUUAUAAAAAGGGAAAAGCCAAGCGGAAGCCAAAAAAAAAAAAAAAAUAAUAGAGCAGCAGCCGCAAGUUUUGAGCAAAACCGAGAGCAGCAUGAAUAAUUUGGAGCAGAAGGAAGACACAUUAAUUCUUGAGUUUUUCUUUCUCUCUUCUCUAUUAUCUUAUUUGAAUGUUUCCCAUUAAAUUCAUGGAUUAUCUUUAUAUUCCCAUGAACUAAUUUAUUUUACUAGAGCUACGAUGUCCUAGUGUUUUAAUCUCUUGGUGAUUUCUAUUACUGCUUGCAUCUUUAUUUGAUUUUUAGUUAUUUUAAUUUUUAAUUUAAAUUCGCUUAUUUGAUUGUUCAAAUAAAUUAGGGUUAGGAUAAUUUCGGUAACUAAUAGGAUAUUCAAUCUCAGUGGGAUGAUACUCUACUCUUCACUAUAUUACUUGUGCCGACUAGUACACUUGCUAAUUUAUGCAAUAGUUGACAGUUGGGAGUGAAUGGAGGCCCUUGACGAAACUUCAGUAAACUUCAGAUUUCAGUUUGUUUGCUCGAAACUUGCAUGGUGACAAGGAUACUGGCAAGGAUAAUGAGAUAGUUUUUGUGUGAAUGAAAUUAUGAUUAUCCUCAGCCUCAGGUAAUUUCUUCUCCUGCUUAGUUGUUAUUUGUUACCUAAUUAAGAAGCAUAAAGUAUCUUGAAUCAUUUUCGUUGUCUGGAAUAUAUGCAACAAUUUUUAAAAUUUUGAUAUGAGUGCAAUGAUUGUAAUUUCUGUUUUCUGUCUGUCAUCGAAUGUAAGACAACUUUAUUAAGAUUCUUGAACCGAGUCAUUUUUGACAAUUGAAGGACAAGUGCUGAAGAGUGGGAAUGCAAAAAGUUUUGUUGUUUUUAGCCUUGUUUUCUUUGAACCAGCGCCUGAUUCACAAGACUCCAUUAAUUUGGCUUUUGAUCAGCUGAUUGAUAAAUGUUCAAUUUCUUUGGUGAUAAAUGUAAUUGUGAAGCAGGCAGCAGGGCAUGACUGUGGAAAAGAGAAGAUUUUAGUGAAAGCCGAGACUCAGAUAAUUCUACGCGUUUUGGUUGAUUUAUAUAAUUCGUGAAAUUUUAUUUCCAUCUGUUACAAGAUCAAACUGCAAUUAGCAAUUUAACAUUCCCUUAAAACCACUAGCUACAUUUCAUCUUUGCACAAUUACACUUAAAAUUCCACUAAAAGAAACUCUUGAGUUGCUCGCAAGCUAUAUAUCAUUAUUCAUUGAAUUCUUACUGUUGAUGCGAGAUUCUGGUUACACUCUUCCGGCUACCAGGAUAUCUGCUCGAUCAACCUCACCUCGACUAGGAUCUCUCCUCGUAUGCUUUCUUCUCCAAGUACUCAUGCGUUCACAGAAACAAGUCAGAGCACGCCGGUUGUUUUCCCGGCGUAAACCCUCCGACGCUCAAGUCAGAUAUGAAGGCUUUGGGAACGCUUGCCACAGAUCUUAUGGCUUUGUAAAUAGUUUUCUCUUCUUUUCAAUUUCCUUAAUCUCUCUUCUAAUCUCGAAAUUGCUAACCCUUUUACCUUCGCUGGCUACCUUUUUAUAGGCCACUUCUGAGCCCAGGCCUUUUUCCCUUUGCGCUCGUCAUCCUCCCACUUCUCGAAAGUGGAUGCUCCAUUUCCGUAGUCGUGGGUGGUUGCGUGGCCCUCGUGCCUAGAUUCUCGGACUGGAAAGCAUGCCACGCCAACUGUCGUUGACCGGGUCUUCUCGAAUCAACCCUUAGCAGGAAUACAGCAGGAAUGGCUUCAGGCUUCUUAUAGGAGAUUGGCCUCGCGGAUGACGUGCUCGUGGACGAGCAGGGUAUUCCUGCUCCUGCUCCUGCUCCCCCGGAUGCCAGGCUCUUACGGGACCCAUCGGCUCGCAGAACUCUACCAUCAGAUAUCUGCUCAUCAUGCCUGGUCUCGUCGACGUAUUUCUCCUAAACACCGGUCCCCCAGUUUCUGGUGUUGGGUAAUGUAGUGGACCAGCAGUAGAAACUCGACAGUACUUGCUCGCGUGGGGUUGGAAAAGGCUUCCAAGAGUCAUGUCGCAUUUAAUUGCGGACGAGGUGAUGUGGCAGAGAUCUAACCCUCCAUUUGAAUUUCAAACCAACGGUUACGAGACCCUUGGGAUUUGGUGCCGUUAAAUGCUGGCAACCCAAGAUUUCGUCCCCAUUAGGAAACCCAAAUCCUUUCGAACGACAAAUUCAUCAUUCACUCCGUCUCCAUCUCUGUCUCUCCGGCAAAGAAGUUCCAGCAUAAAGGCCUCCAUCUCUGUCUUUCACCGACUGAACCAUUACUUCAGGUAUUUCUUCUAUUUCCUUAGUCUCGGAUAGUUGUAGAUAAUUUCUCUUCUCUUUUGCUUGGGUAGUAGUUGGUGGUGGUGUUGUGGUUAGAGCUUAGGGAAUGUCGAAAGGCAAAGAGAAUGUCAUUGAGGUUGACGACGAUGAGUUGGACUUCCUGCCUAGUUUGCUCACCGAUCCUGCUUUUGACCCCGGGAUCCCCUUAGAGCUCAUUAGAUCUAGUGUUGGCACUAGCGCUAGGAGGAUGUCCCCCCAAACAACCUCCACGAGUGGAAGUAGUGGUGAGGAGAGACCCUCUGGCUCGGAAGACACCCUAAGUGAGGAUCAAUGAGGUGACUCUGGGGAGGGGUCUUCACCAGGAACACCGCGACCAGAAGGGUGUAGUACAGUAGGAGGUAGAGCCUUGUCGCGGGAUUAUGCCAUUGAUUACAUGACCUGUACGACCACAUUCAACGAGCUGGAUGACCUCCGGCUCAGGUAUAGCAUUCCUGGUGAAAUUCCUCUCAAGAUCCCAGGAAAGAAGGAUACACCUAGCCGGCCUCCUCGGGGAUACGUUACCCUAUUUUUGGAGAGUUUUAGGCAUGGGCUGAGGUGUCCCUUGCAACCCUACUUUGCCCGGAUUCUUAACGGGCUAAACCUAGCUCCUGGUCAGCUGAACCCCAACGGGUGGAGAGUGCUCUCUGGUCUGUUCAUACUGUGGGACAGAUGUUGUCAAAGCGAGCCCACGGUCGACGAGGUGAAGCACCUGUACCAACUGAAAAGCAGCCCCAAAGACGUCGGCUGGUAUUACUUCCAAUCAAGUACCAAGAUCAGAAAACCCAUAACCGAUCUUCUUACUGGUGAUGGUGGGAAUUGGAAGAGGAAGUUCUUCUUCGCAGGGGGUCCCUUGUUGUUUGCACUUCACUGGUUUGUCUCUAAUCAAAUGUUUGUUUGUGUUGCAGGUUCUUGGGGUGUCCACUUCCCGCUUAAACCUGACCAGCUCAAACGAGUCGAGGCUGUACUAGCCAAUUCCUGCUCGAACCGAGAGCUGUUAACUAUAUACAACUUGCUCGAGUCUCGCUUGAUGCUUCCUGGCCAUAGGAUGGAGGACGCUGUGAUUGGGGCUCUGACCAGGAAACGUUCUCGACCUCCAACCACGAAGAGGGACCAGAGUAAGGACGCCCCUACUGCAAAGCGGGCCAACGUCGUGCAGCAGGUCUCUCCCUUGAAGACUUUACCUCCUGCUCCUGUCAAAGUCGGGGAAACUAGUGGAGCAGCCACAGAUCCUGCUUCCUCUUCUUCUCCUGUCGGCACUCGGUCUCGCUUACCUGACAGCCGAUCAGAACAAUUGGUCCCCUAUCUCAAUGAGUUAUCUAACCUCGUGAGCAAGAAUGACAUGGAGGACUUCGAUGGCUGCACCUUGGGUGAGCUGGUGGGGGCCAUGCAGUAUAGCGCUUUUCACCUCAGCUGCAUGACCACCUAUUACAAGGCCAAGGUUGGGCGCUACGACCGAAAGAUGAAGGAGGACAUUCAAUCGGCGACGACUAGAGCUGGCGUUGCCGAGAAAAAGGCAGGGGAGCUGAAUGUUGAGAACCUCAAGCUGAUGGAGCAGGAAUCUCUUGCUCAAGCAAAAGCCAUUACCCUCGAGGAGGAGCUGACCAAGGUCAAGGGGGAUCUGCAAAGGCAGAAGGCCACGUAUGAGGCUCAGCUCGAAUCCCUCCGCGACUCCCACCGGGCUCACGUCGAGAACUUGGAGAGGGAGGCCAAGAACCAGUAUGACCAGGGACUUCGGCAUUCCUAUCGUUGCAUCAUGGCCGUCCUCGGGAAGCAGCACCCUGAUCUGAAGAUGGAUGAUCUUGCAGUUGGUGUUGCUCAACAUAUGGACGAGGAAGCGGCCAAGGAAGAUGCCGAAGGGGUAGAGCCGAUCGUGAUUGAGGGGGAAAACUCUCCUCCUCGCACAAUCCCUGCUGACGUUGGCGAGGCGAGCACCGCUACUGAUGUUGGCGAGGCGCGCACCCCCCCGGACGCAACUGGUGAUACCCCCCCCCCGCACCUGAGGAGGUCCAGCCAACCAAUGCUGCUCGGCUUACUGAUCCGCCAUCUUCUUGAUAUAUUUCUUGUAUUGUAAUGAACAACGUUGAUGGAGAUUAUCUCCUCUGUUAAUUAUUAACACAUAAAUAAAGAUGUUUUUGAUUAUUUUCGUGUUGUAAUCAUGAGUUAUUUUUCGUUUAAUAAUCUGCCCGUCAUCGUCUGGUUGAGCAGGUUCUGGCCUGGCAUAUGGUUUUACCACAUGCCCUAGAAAAUUCUUCAAUGAUUGAGAUUCUGCUCGCCUUCGCGUGGUCGAGCAGAUCCUGGCACGCUUGGCUUCUGUCUCGCCAUAAACAGGCUUUGAGACUCGACGAGCCUUUGCAUGCCUUAGAAAUAUUUUUUUUUUUCGAUGCUUGGGGGUUCUGCUCGCCUUCGCGUGGUCGAGCAGACCCUGGCACGCUUGGCUUCUGUCUCGCCAUAAACAGGCUUUGAGACUUGACGAGCCUUUGCAUGCCUUAGAGAUUUUUUCGAUGCUUGGGGAUUCUGCUCGCCGUCACGUGGUCGAGCAGAUCUUGGCACGCUUGGCUUCUGUCUCGUCAUAAACAGGCUUUGAGACUUGACGAGCCUUUGCAUGCCUUGGAGAUUUUUUCGAUGCUUGGGGAUUCUGCUCGCCGUCACGUGGUCGAGCAGAUCCUGGCACGCUUGGCUUCUGUCUCGCCAUAAACAGGCUUUGAGACUUGACGAGCCUUUGCAUGCCUUAGAGAUUUUUUCGAUGCUUGGGGAUUCUGCUCGCCGUCACGUGGUCGAGCAGAUCCUGGCACGCUUGGCUUCUGUCUCGCCAUAAACAGGCUUUGAGACUUGACGAGCCUUUGCAUGCCUUGGAGAUUUUUUCGAUGCUUGGGGAUUCUGCUCGCCGUCACGUGGUCGAGCAGAUCCUGGCACGCUUGGCUUCUGUCUCGCCAUAAACAGGCUUUGAGACUUGACGAGCCUUUGCAUGCCUUAGAGAUUUUUUCGAUGCUUGGGGAUUCUGCUCGCCGUCACGUGGUCGAGCAGAUCCUGGCACGCUUGGCUUCUGUCUCGCCAUAAACAGGUUUUGAGACUUGACGAGCCUUUGCAUGCCUUGGAGAUUUUUUCGAUGCUUGGGGAUUCUGCUCGCCGUCACGUGGUCGAGCAGAUCCUGGCACGCUUGGCUUCUGUCUCGCCAUAAACAGGCUUUGAGACUUGACGAGCCUUUGCAUGCCUUGGAGAUUUUUUCGAUGCUUGGGGAUUCUGCUCGCCGUCACGUGGUCGAGCAGAUCCUGGCACGCUUGGCUUCUGUCUCGCCAUAAACAGGCUUUGAGACUUGACGAGCCUUUGCAUGCCUUAGAAAUUUUUCACAGUUUCAAGUGAAUGAAAUUCCUCGACGUUCCAUUAAUUGUAGGAUUCAACUUACAUGAAAAUGUUUGGUCGUAAAAUAAAUAACAGCAAAUACGAACAGAAAGAUCUUGAAAAUAUUAACGACUCUUACUGGAAAUAUUUCCUGAGAUGUGCUGCGUUCCAUGGGCGCUUCACCUCGUGGCCAUCCAUGCGAACCAGCUUGUAAGCUCCUGGUCCCACUAGCUGCUUGACUCUAUAUGGCCCCUCCCAAUUUGGACCGAGCACUCUUUGAGUCGAGUCUUUGGUGUUCUGAUUCACUCUCCUUAACACCCAAUCUCCGACCUUGAACUGCCGUAUGUUCACCUUCUGGUUAUAAUACCGGGCAACCCUCUGCUGGUAAAUGACUGAUCGCUCGGCUGCUUGCUCCCUCUUUUCCGUUAGCAGAUCAAGAUUCAAACAUAUCUGCUCGUCGUUCUCCUGUUCAUUGAAAUGAUAUGUCCGGUGCGUGGUCGUUCCUAUCUCAGUUGGCACGACCGCUUCAUGUCCAAAAGCCAAGGCGAACGGUGUCUCCCCAGUUGCUGUUUUGUGGGUUGUUCUGUAUGCCCAUAGCACACCUGACAGCUCAUCAACCCAUGCACCCUUUUUUGCUCCCAGCCUGGUUUUCAAAAGCCUCUUGAUGGUCUUGUUGGCUGCUUCUACUUGUCCAUUCGAUUGGGGGUGAGCAGGCGAGCAAUACUUCAGCUCUAUUCCGAGGUUCUGGCAGAAAUCCCUGAAGCUGUGAUUAUCGAAUUGUCUGCCAUUAUCCGUUACCAGGGCAUAAGGGAUCCCGUAUCGACAGACCAGGUUUCUCCACACAAAGUCUGUUGUUUUCUUCUCUGUGAUCUUGCUAAGGGCUUCUACCUCUAUCCAUUUCGUGAAGUAGUCUAUAGCAACUAUUGCAUGUGUUGCUGCUCCUCGUCCCUUUGGCAGCGGGCCGAUCAGAUCAAUUCCCCAUUGAGCAAAUGGCCAAGGGGAGGCCAUAGAGGUGAGCUUUUCUGGUGGUUGGUUGGAGAAACUUGCAAAACUCUGGCAACUUACACAGCUCCUGGUCUUCUCCUGUGCAUCCUGGUGCAUUGUCGGCCAGAAAUAUCCCUGCCUUAGAACCUUGUGGGCCAGGGACCUCCCACCAGAAUGAUUCCCGCAAAUUCCUUCAUGUACUUCUCUCAGUACGUAAUCUGCGUCGUCCUCAUCCAAACAUCGGAGGAAAGGUAGUAUAUAUCCUCGCCGAUACAGUACCCCAUCAAUCAUCGUGUAUCUUGAGGCCUGGGCUCUAACCUUCCGAGCUCGCAGCUUAUCUGGUGGUAAUACCCCGUCUCUGAGGUAUGAAAUUAUCGGGUCCAUGCACGAGCAUUUUUGUUCUAUCCGCAACACCCCCAAAUUCUGCUCGAUACUUGGGCUGGACUUCACCUCCAGAGGGACCGACUUUGGCAUUUUUGGGUCGGCUACUGCUGCCAUCCUGGCCAAAGUGUCUGCUCGACUAUUCUGCUCCCUGGGGAUCUGUAUCACCUCCACUGCUUCAAAUUUCCCCAUCAUCUGCCUGACUAUCUUCAGGUACUGCUCCAUCUUCUUCUCUCUUGGUUGGAAUCUUUCGCUGACAUGAUUCGCAACCAGCUGGGAAUAAGUUCUGAUCUUCACUCUGUCUGCUUUCACGGCCUUAGCCAAUUCCAAACCUGCUAUCAAGGCUUCAUACUCUGCCUGGUUAUUUGUGGCUCCAAAUUCCAACUUCACAACAUAAGAGAUCUCCUCCCCCUCCGGGCCUUCCAAGACAAUCCCUGCUCCAGAACCCUGCUCCCCUGAUGACCCAUCCACAUACAUCUGCCAUACUUGAGCUUCGCCACUGUCUGUGACUACAUCUGGUCCAUCUAAACAUACUUCGGGCUCUGUGAAUUCAGCUACGAAAUCGGCCAUUGCCUGAGCCUUUAUCGCUGCUCGGGGUUUGUAGUCUAUGUCGAACUCGCUCAGCUCUAUAGCCCACUUGACGAGCCGACCAGAAGCAUCUGGCUUGUGCACAGUUUGACGCAAUGACUGGUUUGUUAUUACCGAGACCGGGAAUGCUUGGAAAUAUGGCCUCAACUUCCGAGCCGCAACCACAAGGGCAAGUGCCCAUUUCUCCAACGGUGGGUAUCUGGUCUCAGCGUCGAGCAGGGCCUUGCUUGUGUAGUAUAUCGGAUACUGAACUCCUUCUUCCUCUCUCACCAGAACAGAACUGGCGGCCCGAUCCGAUACCGCCAAAUACAGAUAUAACUUGUCCCCAUCCCUCGGUGUGGACAGUAGUGGAGCUUGCUGCAAGUAUUGCUUCAAGUUCUGGAAGGCUUCCUCGCAUUCUGGUGUCCAUUCUGUUUUCUUUCCCCUCCUUAUCACUUAAAAGAAUGGCUGACACUUGUCUGUAACCUUGGAUAUGAAUCUGCUCAACGCAGCCAACCUCCCCGUGAGGCUCUGCAUCUCCUUCAGGUUACGAGGAGACCUCAUCUGCACAAUUGCCUGGAUUUUCUCCGGAUUUGCUUCAAUCCCCCUAUGGCUCACCAUGAAUCCAAGGAAUUUCCCUGACUCGACCCCAAAAGCACACUUCUCCGGGUUGAGCUUCAUCUUAUACUUCCUCAAAAGCCCGAAUGUCUCCUCGAGGUGCCUGACAUGUUCCUUCGAGAUUUUGGAUUUGGUGAUCAUGUCGUCCACGUACACCUCCAUGGUUUUCCCAAUCAACGGCUUAAAGACUUUGUUCACCAGCCUCUGAUAGGUGGCCCCAGCAUUUUUUAGACCAAAUGGUAUUACCCUGUAACAGAACAAACCCUGGUUAGUGAUGAAAGCCGUGCUCUCCUCAUCCUGCUCGUACAUGGGGAUUUGGUUGUAUCCCGAGAACGCGUCCAUGAAACUAAGCAGACCGUGUCCAGCCGUUGAAUCUACUAGUUGAUCGAUCUUUGGUAAAGGGAAGCUGUCUUUUGGGCACGCCUUAUUAAGGUCUGUGAAAUCCACACACAUCCUCCACUUGCCAUUUGCCUUCUUUACCAACACCACAUUCGAUAUCCAUUCAGGGUAAUUGACUUCCCGAAUGAACCCUGCUCUCAAGAGCUUCUCCACCUCGACAUUUAUAGCCUCAUACCUCUCCUGAUUGAAGCACCUCCUCUUCUGCCUUACUGCCCGAGCACCUUUCUUUAUUGCCAGCUUAUGACAUGCUACCUCAGGGUCAAUCCCUGGCAUAUCUUCAUGUGUCCAAGCAAACACAUCUGCAUGAGCCUGUAAGCAUUUCACUAACUCCUGCUUUUGCUCUCCCUUAAGUCUCGACCCGAUUCUGAUUGUUUUUCCCGGAUUCUCUGGUCCCAGGCUUACUGUUUCCAGAUCCUCUACAGGUUCUUGUCUGCCAUUCUUGUUUUCCACUCGGGUAUCGAGGGAUGUUAUCUGCAUUGCUUCCCUUGCUGCUGAGGAGUAGCAGCUUCUUGCGAUCCUCUGAUCUCCUCGUACCACUCCAACUACCCCAUUCACCCGGUACUUCAGAGCCAGAUAAUGGUUGGACAGCAUCGCUUUGCUCAUCCUCAGAAAUGGCCGACCUAGGAUCAUCUGGUAAGGACCUUCCUCAUCCACUACCAUAAAGUCCAGUAUCAUUGUCCUUUCUGUCGGGGAGCUCCCAAUCGUGAUAGGCAGCUCGACCAUGCCCAGAGGGACCAGCCUUCCUCCUCCAAACCCCUUCAAGGAGGUAUUGGUGUAAUCCAACUUCAGGUCUGCUAUUCUCAUCUCCUUCAGGGUUGACUUAAACAACACAUCAACUGAACUCCCUGUGUCAACCAGUAUCCUGUCAAACUUCUUGCUAGCAACAGUGGCCUUGAUGACCAAAGCAUCCUCGUGGGGGUAUAUGAUCCCUUCUUCAUCCUCAUCUGUCCACAUGAUUGGCACUUGCCUGACUCUUGCACGUUUGGCUGCUGGGGUGUUGAAGAAUACCUUUUUGCUGGUCAUGGCGUAUCUAGCAUAAUUUUUCCUCGAUCUGUUAGAAUCUCCGGCCAAUGUUGGGCCCUCAGCUAUAACCCUUACUGCAGGCUGCUCGCGCCUCAAGUUCCUGUCACUCUGCUCCCCUUCACUUGUUGAGGCUACCAUUGGGAAGGUCCCAUCUACGAACUCGUCCAGAUACCGAUUUCUCACUAAAUCUUCAACCUGGGUCUUAAGAUCUCUGCAAUCUGCUGUGGUGUGGCCAUGAGUGCCAUGGAACUUACAAUAGCGUCCCCUAUCCCUCAUGCUGGGUAGCUUGGUUAUUGGAGCAGGGAGGUAUAGCAACCCCCGAUCCUUUAUGGCCUCGUACACCUCGUCCAGGGACAUCUUCAAGGAAGUGUACCGCCCAUAGUCCUAGUUCUGGUCGAUCAGGUGUACUGCUCUUUCUCUGUUUGCUCCGUUCUGGGUUGGGGGCGGUGGCAGUACUUCUGGUCUGCUCCCUCUGCUACCGUGGGAGUGUUGAUGAGCACCAUAUGAUGAAUCAUGCCUUCUCCAAGGCUCCCUAGCUGUGGAACGAGGAGGCUGCGCCCUGCUGCGCUGAUACUGUGGUGGGCUCUGAUGAGGCUGGUAAGCAAUUACCCGACCUCCUGCUCCAUUACCCGAGGCCUGGUGGUCCCUCCUCCUGAUCGGCCCAUUCCCCGGUAAUGCUUUCUUCUCUUUCCUCCCCAACCCUUCUAACUGGUCUAUCUUAAUUCGUGCUGCCUUCUCCUCUUCAAUCUCAAUGUCUCUCUUAGCCUGCUCGUAUGCGGCCGCAUACGUCUGGAUAGCUGGGCUUCUCAAAUUGUACCACAGCCUUCCUAUCUUCACCCUUUCUUUCAAUCCCCUUAACGCCUGAGGGUGGUUGAAGGCUCCCAAGUCGAGGACAGCCCGAUGAAACCUCUUGAUGAAUUCCCGAAGGGUUUCUUGCUCCCCCUGUUUCAUGCUUUUCAGCUCCAUCAUGUCAUCUUCUGGGGCCAUUGCCCCACUAAACUGCUCUGCGAAUUCCUGGCACAUCUGCUCGAAGGUUUUAAUGCUGCCCCGAGGAAGUUUCCUGUACCACUCGCGUGCACGUCCCUCCAGGGAUAGUGGAAACACCCUGCACCUUUGGGGCUGAGAUAAUCCUUGUACCCCCGUUAUGUCAUUGAAGCGUUCUAUGUGCACCAGCGGAUCAGUUCGUCCCGAAUAUCUAAGGUCCGGGAGACGGAAAUCCCUCGGAAUAAUUGCCCUCAUGAUCUCUGCUGCGAGCAGUGAUUCUCCGUCCAGCAUUAUCCUCCAACCAGGAGCUCUGCUCCUUCCUUGCAUAUCGUCAAUUAUCUGCGCUAGUCUGCGCACUUCCUCCUCCAGCUGUACUGCACGACCAGGGUCACGUGCUGCAACUUGAUCCCUCUCUUGCUCUACAUCAUGCAAGUGUUGCCUCAACUCUGUUUCUUCUGCAUUCGCCACCCCGUCGUCCUCGUAAAAAAUCUGUCUUGCCGGGGAUUGCUCUUCUUCUCUAUGAAAUUCUCCCCGUAGAGGUAUGUUACCUCUCUCACCACUAAAUCUCCCGGUGGUUUGACUUCUCCUCGUACCAUCGGGACCUGGUGUCACUCCACCACCUCUCACCAUUUCCUCCUGGGUUACCCUUCGUUCACUCCGCAACUCAUGCAGGAUGGUUGUCAGGGUCUCCAUCUGCUUUUCCAUCCGUUCCAUCCGGUCGAACAUGGCUUUUUCCCGUGCUUCGCUGGCUAUCUCCCUCAGCGUUACAGAAUCGUUAAGCCUCAUAUCACCCCCUUGUGCACUACUUCCUCCUGCCUCCAUUGCUUUUCACUUGCUUCACUCCUCUUCUUGCUAUCAACAGAAGCUUUUUGCUCAGCUCCCCACAGACGGCGCCAAAAUGUUGAUGCGAGAUUCUGGUUACACUCUUCCGGCUACCAGGACAUCUGCUCAAUCAACCUCACCUCGACCAGGAUCUCUCCUCGUAUGCUUUCUUCUCCAAGUACUCCUGCGUUCACAGAAACAAGUCAGAGCACGCCGGUUGUUUUCCCGGCGUAAACCCUCCGACGCUCAAGUCAGAUAUGAAGGCUUUGGGAACGCUUGCCACAGAUCUUAUGGCUUUGGAAAUAGUUUUCUCUUCUUUUCAAUUUCCUUAAUCUCUAUUCUAAUCUCGAAAUUGCUAACCCUUUUACCUUCGCUGGCUACCUUUUUAUAGGCCACUUCUGAGCCCAAGCCUUUUUCCCUUUGCGCUCGUCAUCCUCCCACUUCUCGAAAGUGGAUGCUCCAUUUCUGUAGUCGUGGGUGGUUGCGUGGCCCUCGUGCCUAGAUUCUCAGACUGGAAAGCAUGCCACGCCAACUGUCGUUGACCGGGUCUUCUCGAAUCAACCCUUAGCAGGAAUACAGCAGGAAUGGCUUCAGGCUUCUUACAGGAGAUUGGCCUCGCGGAUGACGUGCUCGUGGACGAGCAGGGUAUUCCUGCUCCUGCUCCUGCUCCCCCGGAUGCCAGGCUCUUACGGGACCCAUCGGCUCGCAGAACUCUACCAUCAGAUAUCUGCUCAUCAUGCCUGGUCUCGUCGACGUAUUUCUCCCAAACACUUACCACAUAUAUGUCACCUUUCAAUCAAUUGUUGAAAAAUUCAAAUUUGGAAUUCAAAUACAUGCAUUCAAAUUUGGAACACUUUGAACGGUCCGAUUCAAAACUUCAUAUUCCAAUUAUAUUCAUAAGACAAAUGGAACACUUUGAACGGCUUGUGUCCGAGCAUUGUAGUUUGAUUUAUUUUGAUGACAUUACCUUUUGACAUUGAGAUUCUUUCAGGAUUUAAACAUUCUUUUUAAAACCAAAUUAUUAAAAAAAAAUAACUAACAUAUAUUAUUUUAUUAGUGCUUUUUAAAUCAAAUAUACAUAGGAGAACUGUAAUUCUUAGCAAUCAAUUUUCCACUAAAUACACCUGCAACAAACUAUUAAUAACAAAGUGAUAGAAAAUACCUGAUUUUUCAUACUUUCUAAUUUCUUUUGGUCCUAAAAUAUGGGCAUUUGUGUAAUAAUAAGCCCAUGUGGAUCUCUAUGCCAUGAGUUUGAUAAAUAGCUAUCAAGGAUCACUUAUUAAGCUAAAAAUAUUUGGAGGACAAAAUUGUAAAACUAAAAGGGUGGAGCAAAUAUGGCUAUCUAGGAUUAAAUAGUAAGUCAACUAUAUUUAAAGGAUAAAAUAUUAAAACUUGAAUUGUGAUAUUAAAAAUAUCUCAACUAUUAUAUUAUUAAACCAUAUGUUCUAAUAGUUUUUUUUUUAAGCUUCAAAAUGUUCAGGAUUUUAGAUUGAAACAUUUUCAAUUGAAAUAAUUUGGUGCAGUCACAAGUUAAGAAAGAAAAAGUUGUCCCAUUGGUCAUUUCACAAAAAUGAAAGCCCUGUAUAACAUGGACGUGAAUGGAAACCCAAUUGUUUGUGUUUGAUUAAUUGAUUUCAAGCUUUAUCUAACCUUUGGACCUGGAUACUUUACUGCGGCCUCUAAGCGCUAUAAAUUUUUUUGGGGAUAAACGGCGCUUCAAUGAGGGCAUCUCCAAUGCUUAACACCAUUUUGGUGUAACACCAACAUUAAAAAUAUACAUUUUUCACACUAAAUUACUAUUUCAUCUCCAACCCAUUUACACCAAAUUUUACACCAAAAAUAAUAUUUUUUUUAUUCUUUUAAUUCUCAAGAAUUAAUUCAAUUAACACAAUAAAUACUACUAUUAACAUAGAUAAUUAAGUAAUAAGUAAUUUUAUCAAUUAACAAAAAAAAUAGAAAAUUAUUAAAUUUGCAUUUAAUUAACUAAAUUAGUACAUUAUGAAAAUUAAACAUUACAUUAAUAUAGAAAAAUACAAUAAAAAUAAUAAUAAUUUUAUAUCUAAUAUUUUGAUGAUAUUGGAGGAUCUAAUAAUGAUCUUCCAGAUUAUUAAAUAAUUGUUCUAAUUUAUACUAGUAGUAGUAGCUUUUUUAAUUUGUGUUAAUUUAAUUUUGUAAUAUGUAAUAUAGUAAUUAAUGUUAUUGGCAUUUUAUUUUUAUUAUUAAUUUUUGUGUUGAAUUUUUUUAUUUAAAAUAUUAGUAUAAUAUUAAAAAAUUAAAAAUGAAAUAAAUAAUAACAAAAAUAAUAAUAAUAACUUAAAAUAUUAUAUAAAAAAGGACAUAUAUGUAAAUAAGAAAAAGUAAUAAAGAUAUUUAGGACUCUUUUUUCCUAGCACCAAAUGAAUAGUGUUACACCAUAUUUGGUGCAAUACUAUUCAUAACACCAAUUUGCUGUUCGUUUUGAUGUUACAUUGGAGAAGCAUUUUACACAAAAAAUGGUGUAAAAGGUAGUUUGGUGUUAGUUUUGGUGUCACAUUGGAGAUGGCCUGGAAAAACACUUGAAAACUUUGGAUUUUUGGUUCGUCCAGUUACGGUGUUAUGCUAAUGGGGUUAAAAGUUCCGAUCCAAUGAGUUAGGAUGGAAUAUGAAUAUAUAAAUUCCAUAGCAUGUAAGGACUAGGAUUUGUUUGUUCAUAUCAAGAAAAAAAAGAUCCGAAAAUUUGAUGAUCAGAAGAUGAAGACACGUUUAUUACAGAGAAACAAACGACAACAUGAUACUAGUAGUAGUUAUUCUUUUCAUCCGAUAUAUUACAUGGUAAUAUCACUACUCGUUCCACUGGUUUCAUAUACACCAUCGAUCAGCAACAUGAUAAUUUUGUGUCAGUUCAUUUUGUUUGUAGGAAAGAGCAGUGUAUUUCUUAGAGCUUGAAAAUAAUAAAAAGAUUUUAAAAUAUAAAUUGCAUAUUUGUUUAUUACAGUUGUUUGGUCUAAUUUCUUAUGUAGAAUUGCUUGUCAUUCUUUGGACGUUAUUGAUUAUAUUUUUGUCAGACUUGGCGUAUAUAUUCACACAUACGUUUUAUUUUGUCAUUUUGUAGAACAUUUUUACACGCCAUAUUAUCACGACUCUUCUCUGUCUGAAUAAGAAGAAAGCAUAAUGCGACCCUCCAAUAGCUUAAUCUAUGGAAUUAUCGUGUUUUGUAAGUUGAGGUCCAAUGGCGUUUUGGCACAUCAUAUGAUAGCCCACUAUAUUGCGUUGCUUUACAAAAGAUUAAUAUUUUGAAAAUUAUUAGGUAAGUUUAGGCUCAGUGGCACUUUAACUCAUGAUAUGAUUGUCCAGGUUUUCGAGGACCACUAUAUUCUAUUGAUUUAAAAAAAAUUAAUAUUUUUUAAUAUUAAUAUUCUAAAUUAUAUUCAGUUCAAAUAUUAAAUAUUAAAUACAUUCUUAAUAUUAAUAUUCUUAGAUGAAAUUCUUUUGCUGACUUAAGAAUAAAAUAUUAAAUAAUUUUAUUUUUCUUUUAUUCUGUAACGUGGACCCAAUAAAAAAAGGAAAUGAAUUUAAUAAAACCUUCAUUCAAAAUCUUCAUUCCGCCACCAUGCAUGUUAAUUGUUUCCAAAUUCCAACCUCCGUACUCUCUUGAGGAGUUUCCCAUUCAUCAAUUAUUAUUUUUUAUAAUCCAUACCAUCCUGAUAUAAUUAAACACCAUUAAUAAUGUACCAACCUUUAAAUAGUAAUUAAUUUAUUUAUCUAAUUCACCAAAUGUUUUUUCCGGUACAUAUCUCCAUUGGUAUCAAGAAGAAGCAGAACCCAAAGAAAUGUUUCUUGCAUCUUCAUAUUUGUGCGAAUUCAUCCUUUCAUUGAGAAUAACCAUUUCCAGGCAGCAGUUGGCAAUCAAUUCAUGCGCACGUCGAUGCUAUUCAUAGAUACUAAAGACAAUGAUGAACCAAAGGUGAUAAAUCAUAAAUGCAUAAUUACCAAACCUCCAUCCUUCUCUCAUUAUGAUUUGAUUUUAAAUGAAUUAUUGCUUGGUAACAUUAUUUCCAACCAUUGCAAGACCUUUUUUUUGGAGAAAUUUCAAUUGAAAGUGAAACCUUUAGACAUUUACCUAAUGAAGUUAGUUAAUCGGGAGGGUCGGAAAAAAAAAGUUGACGCAAGUCAAUACACAAUAAUCAAUUAAAUCCGGAGUGACUAAAACAGAGCCACUACUUUUUAAAAAAUAUCUGCAUUAAUCACUUUCUCCAGCAACUAGUCAGCUACACACGAAUCAAUUUCUCUCCUCGUUUGUCAUCCAAAAUUAUUCACCAAUACCAUGGCUGAUGCAAUCGUUUCCACUAUCUUGGAGCAGCUGAUUUCCUUCGCUGCUGAAGAGAUAAAACAACAGGUGAUCGAAGUUUCACCCCUCAUAUUACAAAUACUUCCAAUGAUUUUAAUUGGCUUUGUUUUUAUCAAAAACAUUAUAUAUUUUUGCUUUUUUUUUAUUUAUCUGAUAAUUUUAUAUUUUGAAAUUUGAAUUGAAUUUAAUUAAAAGGUGAUGUAGUAACCACUCAUUUUUAUUUUAUUUCAUUUCUAUUCUCGAUAACUAACCAUAUUUUGGUAACUUAAUAUGACUCUCGUACAUAAGAAAUGAUCAAAACCCACAAUUUUAACUAUGUAUAAAUAUUCAACGUUGAGCUAAGGUUUUGCAGAACAUUCAAGUUUAUCAAAUAGUCAUUAAUUUAAUGUUUUAGUAAAACCUCAACUCAUCACUGAAUCCCAUAGCUAUUACUUAGACUCUAUGAAAAAUUUCAUAGUUUUCUUACAUUCUUUCAGUUUGGUAAGUGAUUUCAUAUAAUUUCUGUUCAAUAUAAAUUUUAAUUUGGUUUCUUAUAUACUCUCUUUGCUGAAUUUGUAUCUUUUAUGAUUCUUAGAUUUUGGGCUCUAACAUUUUAGGAUUUGAUAGUCACAUUUUAUGCCAUGCUUAGAUUGAUUUUCAUGAUUUUUACUACCCAUUAAGUGACUUAGAAUUUGACAAAAGUUUGAAAGGAAAUCUGCUUCAGGAUUCUGUUUUAAUUGACCUUUUAGUGGAAAUAGGAUGCUUAUAACUUAAUGUGGAUGGUUCGUAAAAUCAUGAAAUUUGGAUAGAAUUAACUAGAAAUAUGUACAAGACUCUCCAUGAAGUCUCAUAAUUUUUCAUUCGGUCUGGGGUGGUACAGGUGAAACUUGUGGUUGGUGUUGAAAAAGAAGUGAAAAGCCUUACCAGCCAUCUUCAAGCCAUUCAAGUUGUGCUCGAUGAUGCAGAGGAAAAGCAAGUGAAGGAAAAAGCUGUUAGUCUUUGGCUGGGUAGGCUCAAGUAUGCAUCCUACGACAUUGAAGAUGUGUUGGAUGAGUGGAUCACAACAAGACGCAAAUUGCAAAUUGAGGGUGGCAUUGGUGAAAAUGCUCUUGUUGUUCCUCAUAAGAAAAAGAAGGUAUGUCUCUGCUUUCCCGGCUCUUGUUUUGGAUUCAAACAAGAAGAAUUUGGUUUCAAACAAGUCUUUCUCCGUCAUGACAUUGCCGACAAGAUCAAAGAAAUCAAUGAAGAGCUACAUGAUAUUGCCGCUCAAAAAGACAUGUUUGAUCUUGUUAAGAGUGGCAAUAAAAGUAGUGAAAGACCAAGGCGUGUACAGAGUACCUUCUUGAUUGAUGAGGAAGAGAUUUGUGGCAGAGUUGGUGAGAGGAAUGAACUCUUAAGCAAGCUGUUGUGUGAGAGUAGCGAGCAACAAAAAGGCCUUCAUAUCAUCUCAAUCGUUGGUAUGGGAGGCAUAGGGAAAACAACUCUUGCACAACUAGCUUGUAAUCAUGACGAGGUGAAGAGAAAGUUCGACAAAAUUCUGUGGGUGUGUGUAUCAGAAACUUUUGAGGAGUUUAGGGUUGCCAAAGCGAUCGUUGAAGUUUUGGAUGGUCGUGAAUCUCAUUUAGCUGAAUUCCAUUCUCUUCUUCAACAUAUUUAUGAAUCCAUUGCAGGGAAGAGCUUUCUUCUUGUCUUAGAUGACGUGUGGGAUGGAAAUUACUUGAAAUGGGAACCAUUCUACCGUUGUCUAAAGAAUGGUCUCCAUGGAAGUAAAAUUUUAGUUACCACACGUAAAGGGUCAGUCGCAUCCAUGAUGGGAUCCAUAGAUAUUAUCUCCGUUAAGGAGUUAGCUGAAGAGGAAUGUUGGUUGUUGUUUAACAAGAUAGCAUUUUUUGAUCGGUCCAUCGAGGAACGUGAAAAAUUAGAACAAAUUGGGCAAAGAAUUGCAGGCAAGUGCAAAGGUUUACCUCUUGCAGCAAAGACAAUAGGGAGUCUCAUGCGUUCUAAACAAACUGAAGAAGAGUGGAAAAGAAUUUUAAAUAGUGAUUUAUGGAAAGUAGAAGAGAUUGAGAAAGAUGUUUUGUCCUCUUUAUUGUUGAGUUAUAAUGAUUUGCCAUCUAGAGUAAAAAGAUGUUUUUCAUAUUGUGCUGUCUUUCCAAAAGACUACAAUAUAGAAAAAGACAAACUAAUCACGUUAUGGAUGGCUCAAGGUUAUCUUAGUGCAGAAGAAGAUGAAGAGAUGGAGACAGUAGGUGAAGAGUAUUUUGGCAUCUUAGCUUCUCGCUCAUUUUUUCAAGAGUUUAAGAAAAGUUAUGAUAAUCGGAUUAUAGAGUGUAAGAUGCAUGAUAUGGUACAUGAUUUUGCCCGAUUUGUAAGUCAAAAUGAAUGUUUUUCGAUGGCAAUCAAUGGUAGUGAAGAACCAAACGCCACAAACUCUCUUGAUGAGAAGGUCCGUCAUUUAAUGUUAAUCUUUAGUAUAGAGGCUUCAUUACCUGUUUCCACUUGUAGAGUUAAAAGAAUUCGUAGCCUCUUAAUUAACGAUAGUAGAUCUGAUCAUUCAUUAUUAAAUGGUGAGAUCCUAGAAGAAUUAUUUAGGGAAUUGACAAGUUUAAGGGCAUUAGAUUUUUGCAAAUCGUAUAACGCAAGUUGGUCUUCGACUCUGGAGAUUCCGAGAAACAUAGAAAAGCUGGUACAUUUAAGAUACCUUAAUUUGUCUUAUCAGGGAAUAAAGAAACUACCGGAGACAUUAUGCGAGUUGUAUAAUCUAGAAAAGUUAGAUAUUAGUUAUUGUUAUAAGCUAGAAGAAUUACCUGAAGGGAUUGGGAAGUUAAUAAACAUGAAGCAUUUACGAAAUAGAGGUACUAGUUCUUUAAGGUACAUGCCAGUAGGGAUUGGGAGAUUAACGGGUCUUAGGACCUUGGGUGAGUUCCACGUGAGUGCAGGAGGAGGUGUUGAUGGUAGGAAAGCAUGUAGGCUUGAAUCUCUUAAAAACUUGGAACACCUUCAAGUAUGUGGUAUAUGUAGACUGGGUGAUGUAUCAGAUGUGGGCGAGGCUAAGCGAUUAGAACUUGACAAAAAGAAAUACCUCUUCAGUUUGACCCUCGAGUUUGAUAAGACGGAAAGAGGAGGAGAAAGGAGGAAGAACGAGGACGAUCAACUUCUUCUUGAAGCCUUGCGACCACCCCUGGAUUUAAAGGAAUUAGAGAUACGGUACUACCGAGGCAACACUGUUUUCCCCAGCUGGAUGGCGUCAUUAACCAACUUAAAGAGUUUACAUCUCCAUAGGUGCGAAAAUUGCGAGCAGCUGCCUCCUUUGGGAAAAUUGCCGUCCCUUGAAAAUCUCUACAUAUGGCGCAUGGAGAGUGUGAAGAGAGUGGGUGAUGAAUUUUUGGGGAUAGAAAGUGAUCAUCAUGACUCAUCGUCAUCUUCAUCAGUUACUAUUGCCUUCCCCAAAUUGAAAUCACUCACAAUUUAUUCGAUGCUGGAAUUGGAGGAGUGGGAUUAUGAGAUUACAAGAACAGGAAACACCGUCAUCAACAUCAUGCCACGUCUUUCUUCCUUGACAAUUGUUGAUUGCACCACAUUAAAGGCACUGCCCGACCACAUUCAUCAAACGACAACGUUGAAGGAAUUGAGCAUUUUUAUGUGUUGGCUUCUGAACAAACGUUACCGCAAGGGGAAAGGAGAAGACUGGCCUAAAAUAUCACACAUUCCCAACCUCCGUAUUGGGCUUUGACAAGUAAUUUCUUCUCUCACUCUGAUUUGCUUUGUUGUUGUUUUUAAUCUAAUUAAGAAGCGAAAAUAGCAUUUUGAAUCAAACUCUAUAUCAGAAAUCUGCAAUACUUACUUUCUAAUAUUCUGAUUUUCAUAUCCUAUGAAUAUACGAUUUUUAAUUUGUGAGAUGGGUAACGUUACUGUAAAAGAUUAUUAAUGCAAUAUGAGUAAUUCUUUUGCAGGACAAGUGACCUACAUUUAGUUUGGCUUUGGAGUUGAAUAAUAACCUUUCGUGGUCCCGACAACCAAAAAACAAAGCUUAAUUUGCCACAGAUUGAACGUAUUGCCAUUAUUGACAAUUUUCUGCACAAGCGUGACUGAACUUAGGUUGAUGUCAAAAGAGGUAAAUUAUUGGCAUGCCUGACUAUUUUGACCAUUACAUGAUUCAUAAGUUUACAUUAAUUUUGAUUUUGAGUUGAGUGAUUAGUUUUCUAGGUUUGCUUACUUUAACUGGGUGACCAAUUUCUUGUAACUAAAUGUAUGAUGUGAUGCAGGAAGCAGGGCAGGAUAUGAAAAGAGAAGCUUAUUAGAGGAAGGAUUGCCAGUAACAGAAUCCAAAGAAAAAGAAACCAUUUCGAGGCAGCUGUUGGCAGUUGGCAGUGAAUGGAGCCCCUUGAAAAAAUUCCCAGGCCGUUGCACUGCAAUUACGAUCAUCCUCGGCCUCAGGUAAUUUCUUCUCCUGCAUUUUUGUUAUUUGCUAUCAAGUGACUAUUUUAAGUAUGAUUGCAUUAAGCUUCUGCUGGGAAAUUUGAGGUUUUGAUGACUGCCCAUGCUAUUGUCAGAAGCUGCGGUUCUUUUCAUCAGCCUGAACCUGGACCUGCCGCUAUGGAUAACUCAGGUUUUUUUUUUUUUUUUAAUCAACUGCCAUCUUUUCCACUGUUUAGAAACUCUUAAGAUUAAACUUUAGUAAAGUUGUUUUAGUUAUCCAUGUAAUCAGGCUGAGGAUACUUAGCUGCCUAUUUAGGCAAAUGUCAGAAUUUAGUUUGUUCGCUGGGAACUGGUGUGGACUGGCAAAGGAUGAUGAGAUAGUUUUUUGAGUGAGUAAAUUUUGGGAGCUUGAGUGUAUUGGGAUUUGCAAUUACAAUCAUCGUCUGCCUCAGGUGAUUUCUUCUCCUGCUCUGUCAUUGUUUGUUCUCUAAUUCAAAAGCAUAAAAUAUUUCAAUCAAUUUUUAUGCCAGGAAUAUGCAAAAGUUUCUAAUAUUUUAUUUCCAUCUGUUACAAGAUCAAACUGAAGCAGAACUCAAACAAAAGUAUGCUACUUCUUGCGGAAAUCUUGCCUUUGUUCAGAUUAUGAAACCAUUUCCAUGCAGCAAAUUCAUCCAAAAGUUUGAAUAAGUUUCAUGGUUGGACACUGUUGGCUUCUUUUUCUUCUGGGGUGCAUUUAGGUGCUAUCAAGUGACAGCUGUAAGUAUGAUUGCACUAAGCUGCCGCUGGGAAAUUUGAGGUUUUGAUGGCUGCCCAUGUUAUUUUCAAGAAACUAUUGAUGUAAGAAGCUGUGGUUCUUUUCAUCAGCUUGAACCUGAAACUGUCGCUAUGGAUAACUCAGGUUUUUGUUAUCAACUAUAUCAUCUUUUUCACUAUUUUGAAACUCUUAAGAUUAAACUUUAGUAAAGUUGUUUCAGCUAUUCAAAUGAAAAACUCAUUGAUUUGAGACUUCCUUCAUUAUUGUUUCUAAUUACAAUGCUAACGAUCCAGAUAAAAUAAUAUUUAAUCGGCGAAGGUGUCCCUUGGAAGUACAUCCUUCUUUUUCUUUUAUUAUAUAAAUUCUUGCAAUGAGCUUAGUGAAGCUGUUGUGCUAAUCAUGCCACUGCAUAAUUUGGCCCCUAAUGUGGGUACUCUGUUACAUUGUUCUGCAAAUUCUCCAGAAGUUAAAAUCAAUAAAUUUUCUAUUAGCUCUAGUGCUUUGACCUAAAUGCCAUUCUAUAUUUUGAUUACAAUGUUUUAACCUUUAAAUUAACUACCCCUAGAUGUUGGAUUUUCUAGAACUUCAAAAUGAUUAAUGGAGAAAGAUCCCAUUAUCGUUAUUGCUAUAAGAAAUUGAUUUAUGCAUCCAAAGAUACAUUAUAUAUUUCUGUGUCUCUAUUUGUAGAUGACAUUUAAGCAUCCAUAAACCGUCAGACAGAGGAAGGGGGUUCAGUGCAAAGAUUCUGUUGACCUAGGGUUGACUGCAUAAUGUCACUUGUUCGCAAUCUAUUAUUUAUUUUAUAUUUUGAAGAAUUUAAUGGGUAAUCCUAAUUGUUUGUUUUGGCAGGUAUGUGUUGUUAUCUCCUUCUAUCUAACAGUCGUACCUAAAUAGCAUAGUUUCAUCUGUGUUACCAUGUGAUGUACAUAAUUUCACAUUUGCCUCAGAUUAAGCUUAAUUUCCCACAGAAUAGAGCUGUCGCGACUGGACUUAGGUUGAUGUCCAAAGAGGUAAAUUAUUGGCAUGCCUAGAUAAUUUGGCCAUUUCCUAAUUCAUAAGUCUACAUUAAUUUUGAUUUUGAGUUGACUGAUUUCUUUUCAAGGUCUGCUUCCUUAACGGAGUGACCAAUGUUUUUCAACUAAAUUUAUCAUAUGAUGCAGGAAGCAGGGCAGGAUAUGAAAUGAGAAGCUCAUUGGUGGAAGUAUUGCCAGUAACAGAACCCAAAGAAAAUGAAACUAUUUCAAGGCAGCAGUUGGCAGUUGCAAGUGAAUGGAGGCCCUGACAAAAUUCUCAAGCGGUUGCAAUGCAAUUACGAUCAUCCUCAGCCUCAGGUAAUUUCUUCUCCUGCUCUGUUUUUAUUUGUUAUCUAAUUAAAAAGCAUAAAGUAUCUUGAAUCACUUUCUGUAUCUGGAACAUAUGCAGCAGUUUCUAAAAUCUUCAUAUGAGUGUAAUGAUGGUAAUUUCUGUUUUUUGUCUGUCAUUGAAUGUUAGACAACUUUCAGUGAGACUCUUGAACCGAGACAUUUUUGACAAAUGAAGGACAAUUGCUGAAGAGUGGGAAUGGUGCUAGAUUGGGGAAUAAAGACAAAGGAGGUAAAUUAUUUGCAGUUUAUUCAGCAUUAUUUGCUUUGGACCAGCGCCUGAUUCACAAGUCUCCAUAAUUUGGCUUUUGACCAGUUGUUAAUAAAUUUUUUAUUCCAUUGGUGCUAAAUGUACACGUGAAGCAGGCAGAGCAGGACUGUGGAAAUGAGAAGGUUUUUAGUGAAAGCUUAAACUCAGGUAAUUCUAAAAAGUACAUGUUUUUGCUGAUUUAUCUAAAUCAGGAAAUUUUAUUUCCAUCUGUUACAAGAUAAAACAGAAACAGAACACAAAGAAAAAUAUUCUACUUCUUGUGGCAAUCUUGCCUUCAUUCAGACAAUGAAACCAUUUCCUUUCACCAAUUUCUUCCAAAAGUUUGAAUAAGUUUCAUGGUUGGACAUAGUUAGCUUCUUUUUCUUUUGGUGCAUUUAGGUCCUAUCAAGUGACAGCCAUAAGUAUGAUUGCAUUAUUGGGAAAUUUUAGGUUUUGAUGGCUCCCCACGUUAUUGCCAAGAAAGUCCUCAUGUCAAAAGCUGCGGUUCUUUUCAUCAGCCUGAACCCGAACCUGUCGUUAUGGAUAACUCAGGUUUUUGUCAUCAACUAUAUCAUCUUUUUUACUGUUUUGAAACUCUUAAGAUUAAACUUCAGUAAAGUUGUUUCAGUUAUCCAUGUAAUCAGGCCAAGGAUAUUUAGCAGCUUAUUUAGGCAACUGCCAGAAUUCAGUUUGUUUGCUCGAAACUUGUAUGGUGACAAGGAUACUGGCAAGGAUAGUGAGAUAGUUUUUUGUGUGAGUGAAAUUUGAAAGCUUGGGUGUUCUGGGAUUUGCAAUUGCAAUCAUCCUCUGAGUCAGGUGAUUUCUUCUCCUGCUCUGUCUUGAUUUUCUCUCUAAUUGAAAGCAUAAAGUAUUUCAAUCAAAUUCUGUACCAGGAGUACAUAAAAGUUACUAAUAUUUUAUUUCCAUCUGUUUGCAUUGAUAACUCGGCAUAUGUUCUAGUUAAAGAACAAACAGAAACAGAGUUCAGGAAAAAGUUUCUUCGGCCACCAUAUUUGAAAAUGAAACCAUUUCCAGGAAGCAGUUGGCAGCAAAUUCAUAUGGAGUGUAGACAAUGAUGAGCAAAAAGGUGAUUCGCAAUUUCUUUUUUUUUUAAGUGAAAUUAUUUGUUAGAUUGAAGCUGAUAUUGUAAGAAGGCCAUUGAGCUAACCUAUGUCGUCACUUGCCUAGAUUGCAGGGGGUCAAGACUCAAAAGAAGCACUGAAAUUUAAAAAGCAUGGAAUAGUUCUUUUGCCAUGUGUCAAUUAAUGCAAGUUUGAAUAAGUUUAUUGGCUGAACGAUGUUAGCUUCUUUUCCUUUCGUGCACUUUGGUAUGCUAUCAAGUGACAGCCGUAUGUAUGGCUUGCAUAUAGCUGCUGCUGGGAAAAUUGACGAUUUCAUGGCUGGCCGUGUUAUUGUCUUAAAUUAGUUGUGAUAAGCUGUUGCUUGGAGAUUCUGUUGCCAAGACUUUGCUCACAUCAGAAGCUGUGGAAUCUGAACCCUUCGUUAUGUAUCAUCUUUUUCAUUGUUUUAAAACUCUCAGGAUUAAACUUGAGCGAAUUUGUUCGGUUGUCUAUAUAAUCAUGUAUUGAGUAAACUCUCAGGAUACUGAGGGUGAGAGAAAUUAGAGGGUGUAUAGGGAUUUGGAUUUGUUAGGAAGUUAUCAUUUUUAUUUUUAUUUUUAUUUUUUUCCCAGAAAAUCUUCUGGUGGUGCUAUAUUUUCAAACGACAGUCCGAUUCAAAACUUGAUAUUCCAAUUAUAUUCAUAAGCUUCUACAGUUAUCUUCAAAAAGACAAAUGGAAGGCUUUGAACGGCUUGGGUCUGAGUAUUGUAGUUUGAUUUAUUUUGAUGAAAGUACCUUUUGACAUUGAGAUUCUUUCAUGAGUUAAACAUUCUUUUUAAAACCAACUUAUUAAAAAAAAAAAGUAACUAACAUAUAUUAUUUUGUUAGUGCUUUUUAAAUCAAAUAUAAAAAAGAGAACUGUAAUUCUUAGCAACCAAUUUUUCACUGAGUACACCUACAACAAACUAUUAAAAAAUAAAGUGAUAGAAAAUGCCUGAUUUUUCGUACUUUCUAAUUACUUUUGGUCCUAAAAUAUGGCAAUUUGUGUAAUAAUAAGCCCAUGUAUAUCUUUAUGCCAUUAGUUUGAUAAAUAGCUAUCAAGGAUAACUUAUUAAGCUAAAAAUAUUUGAAGGAUAAAUUGAUUUAUGCAUCCAAAGAUACAUUAUAUAUUUCUGUGUCUCUAUUUAUAGAUGACAUUUAAGCAUCCAUAAACCGUCAGACAGAGGAAGGGGGUUCAGUGCAAAGAUUCUGUUGACCUAGGGUUGACUGCAUAAUGUCACUUGUUCGCAAUCUAUUAUUUAUUUUAUAUUUUGAAGAAUUUAAUGGGUAAUCCUAAUUGUUUGUUUUGGCAGGUAUGUGUUGUUAUCUCCUUCUAUCUAACAGUCGUACCUAAAUAGCAUAGUUUCAUCUGUGUUACCAUGUGAUGUACAUAAUUUCACAUUUGCCUCAGAUUAAGCUUAAUUUCCCACAGAAUAGAGCUGUCGUGACUGGACUUAGGUUGAUGUCCAAAGAGGUAAAUUAUUGGCAUGCCUAGAUAAUUUGGCCAUUUCCUAAUUCAUAAGUCUACAUUAAUUUUGAUUUUGAGUUGACUGAUUUCUUUUCAAGGUCUGCUUCCUUAACGGAGUGACCAAUGUUUUUCAACUAAAUUUAUCAUAUGAUGCAGGAAGCAGGGCAGGAUAUGAAAUGAGAUCUCAUUGGUGGAAGUAUUGCCAGUAGCAGAACCCAAUGAAAAUGAAACUAUUUCAAGGCAGCAGUUGGCAGUUGCAAGUGAAUGGAGGCCCUUGACAAAAUUCUCAAGCGGUUGCAAUGAUGGUAAUUUCUUCUCCUGCUUUGUAUUUAUUUGUUAUCUAAUUAGGAAGCGUGAAGUAUCUUGAAUCAUUUUCUGUAUCUGGAAUAUAUGCAAGAGUUUCUAAAAUUUUGAUAUGAGUGUAAUGAUGGUAAUUUCUGUUUUCUGUCUGUCAUCAAAUGUUAGAAAACUUUCAUUGAGACCCUUGAACCGAGUCAUUUUUGACAAGUGAAGGACAAUUGCUGAAGAGUGGGAAUGGUGCUAGAUUGGGGAAUAAAGACAAAGGAGGUAAAUUAUUUGCAGUUUAUUCAGCAUUAUUUGCUUUGGACCACCGCCUGAUUCACAAGUCUCCAUAAUUUGGCUUUUGACCAGUUAAUAAAUUUUUAAUUCCAUUGGUGCUAAAUGUACACGUGAAGCAGGCAGAGCAGGACUGUGGAAAUGAGAAGGUUUUUAGUGAAAGCUUAAACUCAGGUAAUUCUAAAAAGUACAUGUUUUUGCUGAUUUAUCUAAAUCAGGAAAUUUUAUUUCCAUCUGUUACAAGAUAAAACAGAAACAGAACACAAAGAAAAAUAUUCUACUUCUUGUGGCAAUCUUGCCUUCAUUCAGACAAUGAAACCAUUUCCUUUCACCAAUUUCUUCCAAAAGUUUGAAUAAGUUUCAUGGUUGGACAUAGUUAGCUUCUUUUUCUUUUUGGUGCAUUUAGGUCCUAUCAAGUGACAGCCAUAAGUAUGAUUGCAUUAUUGGGAAAUUUUAGGUUUGGAUGGCUCCCCAUGUUAUUGCCAAGAAAGUCCUCAUGUCAGAAGCUGCGGUUCUUUUCAUCAGCCUGAACCCGAACCUGUCGUUAUGGAUAACUCAGGUUUUUGUCAUCAACUAUAUCAUCUUUUUUACUGUUUUGAAACUCUUAAGAUUAAACUUCAGUAAAGUUGUUUCAGUUAUCCAUGUAAUCAGGCUAAGGAUAUUUAGCAGCUUAUUUAGGCAACUGCCAGAAUUCAGUUUGUUUGCUCGAAACUUGUAUGGUGACAAGGAUACUGGCAAGGAUAGUGAGAUAGUUUUUUGUGUGAGUGAAAUUUGAAAGCUUGGGUGUUCUGGGAUUUGCAAUUGCAAUCAUCCUCUGAGUCAGGUGAUUUCUUCUCCUGCUCUGUCUUGAUUUUCUCUCUAAUUGAAAGCAUAAAGUAUUUCAAUCAAAUUCUGUACCAGGAAUACGUAAAAGUUACUAAUAUUUUAUUUCCAUCUGUUUGCAUUGAUAACUCGGCGGCAUAUGUUCUAGUUAAAGAACAAACAGAAACAGAGUUCAGGAAAAAGUUUCUUCGGCCACCAUAUUUGAAAAUGAAACCAUUUCCAGGAAGCAGUUGGCAGCAAAUUCAUAUGGAGUGUAGACAAUGAUGAGCGAAAAGGUGAUACGCAAUUUCUUUUUUUUUUUUUUUAAGUGAAAUUAUUUGUUAGAUUGAAGCUGAUAUUGUAAGAAGGCCAUUGAGCUAACCUAUGUCGCCACUUGCCUAGAUUGCAGGGGGUCAAGACUCAAAAGAAGCACUGAAAUUUAAAAAAGCAUGCAAUAGUUCUUUUGCCAUGUGUCAAUUAAUGCAAGUUUGAAUAAGUUUAUUGGCUGAACGAUGUUAGCUUCUUUUCCUUUCGUGCACUUUGGUAUGCUAUCAAGUGACAGCCGUAUGUAUGGCUUGCGUAUAGCUGCUGCUGGGAAAAUUGACGAUUUCAUGGCUGGCCGUGUUAUUGUCUUAAAUUAGUUGUGAUAAGCUGUUGCUUGGAGAUUCUGUUGCCAAGACUUUGCUCACAUCAGAAGCUGUGGAAUCUGAACCCUUCGUUAUGUAUCAUCUUUUUCAUUGUUUUAAAACUCUCAGGAUUAAACUUGAGCGAAUUUGUUCGGUUGUCUAUAUAAUCAUGUAUUGAGUAACCUCUCAGGAUACUGAGCAGGCAAAUGUUAUAACUCGGUUUGUUAGCCAAAAACUUGUUGAAGAUUCUUGACAAAGCUGCAUCAAGUGAAUUGUCGGAGCUCUGAGGGUGAGAGAAAUUAGAGGGUGUAUAGGGAUUUGGAUUUGUUAGGAAGUUAUCAUUUUUAUUUUUAUUUUUAUUUUUUUCACAGAAAAUCUUCUGGUGGUGCUAUAUUUUCAAACGACAGUCCGAUUCAAAACUUGAUAUUCCAAUUAUAUUCAUAAGCUUCUACAGUUAUCUUCAAAAAGACAAAUGGAAGGCUUUGAACGGCUUGGGUCUGAGUAUUGUAGUUUGAUUUAUUUUGAUGAAAGUACCUUUUGACAUUGAGAUUCUUUCAUGAGUUAAACAUUCUUUUUAAAACCAACUUAUUAAAAAAAAAAAGUAACUAACAUAUAUUAUUUUGUUAGUGCUUUUUAAAUCAAAUAUAAAAAAGAGAACUGUAAUUCUUAGCAACCAAUUUUUCACUGAGUACACCUACAACAAACUAUUAAAAAAUAAAGUGAUAGAAAAUGCCUGAUUUUUCGUACUUUCUAAUUACUUUUGGUCCUAAAAUAUGGCGAUUUGUGUAAUAAUAAGCCCAUGUAUAUCUUUAUGCCAUUAGUUUGAUAAAUAGCUAUCAAGGAUAACUUAUUAAGCUAAAAAUAUUUGAAGGAUAAAAUGGUAAAACUAAAAGGGUGGAGUAAUAUAGUUAUUUAAGAUUACAUAGUAAGUCAACUAUAUUCGAGGGAUAAAAUAUUAAAACUUGAAUAGUGAUAUUAAAAAUAUCUCAGCUAUUAUACUAUUAAACCAUAUGCCGUAAUAAUAUUUUUUUUCAAACUUUAAAAAAUUCAGGAUUUUAAAUUAAAACAUGGAUUUCUUUAAGAUGCUAUAUGUGUUUUUACAGUAUUGAUAGUGGGAUUAGUGUGGACCUUUAGAUGAAAGAGUUUUAAUCUGAAUCAUUCAUUUAAUAUAAUAGAUAAUUAAAUAAUUAAUUAAAAUAUAUCAGGUAACUUAUAGGUUGCAGGUAAAAAAUUAAUUUUUUAAUUUUAAAUUAAAAUUAAUUUGGAACAAAACCAUCCACACCCCUAAGGUUUACUUAAAUGAUCAUAUAAAUCCCUUUAGUUUCUACAUAGUUAUACAAACCCUCUUAAUUUCAUAAAUUAUUAUUAUACUUUUAAUUAAAACAACCUAAAUGAAUAUAAAUAUAGUAAUAGGAUAGAAAUAAUAAAUAAAUAUCAGAUGAAACAAAUAAAAUAUUACAAUAAAUACAAUUAAUUAAAUAACAUGUAGGAUGAAAAUUUUAUUCAUAUUAAGUUAUUAUUAGUCGAUCUCGAUGGAUUUACUCAAAUUAAUUAAUCCAAAAUUUAAUUUUAAGAUUGAUAUUAAUAUGGACAUAAUUAAAUAAGAUGUUGUAAUAUAUAUUACUUUGAAUGUUAAGUAUAAUUAUCUAAUAUUAUUAGUAUGUGAAAUAGAUUUUAAUAUUAUUAAAAGAAUAUGACAAUAUAUAAUUUUGACAUAAAUUUUUUAGUAUUCAUAAUAUUUUAUAAAUUUUAUCUUAUUUUAUAUAUUAUAUUUUUUAAUUUUAAUGUAUUAUAUAUGAUCAUUUAAGCAAAUUUUGGAGGUGCGGUGGUCUUUUCCCUAUUAAUUUUGUAGCAUAUUUAAAGUGUUAUAUCAUACAUCAUACAUCGCACUUUUGUUAAAGUAUUAUGUUAUUAAAAAUUAAACUUUGCAUUUAUAAUAUACUACCAUUUUAAUGUAAAUGUAACAAAAAAUAUGAAGAUAUUUUUAAGUAGUCAAUUGUAGCUUUCUAUUACAAAAUAGCAGUAUAGAAAUACAAUUGGUAAAAUGUAAUAAAAAUGGUAUGGAAAAAAGUUAGUAGAGGCAAUUAUUUUUGUAGUUGCUAAAACAUAUGAAGUGACACACACACACACACACACACACAUCAAGUACUUGUAUGUUCCCCUAACUUUUAUUAAUAGGAAGGAAAUUAAAUUCGUAAUUUUCCCGGUGAAUUAUGAAUUGAUAAAUGAAAUAUAAAUAUUAGUAAAAAUUAAUUUGUCGACUAAAGAAGUAAACCAUAUUUUAUGGGCAUUUAAUACAUUACUUUAAGGUCAAAUGAGAUAUAUCACAUGAUAUUUGAUACAGUAGUCCAAUUUUCAACAUUUGCAUAUAGUUUCUAAGCUAGUAAUCUAAUAAAAUAUACCAAAUGAGAAAUUCAAGGCUAUUAUUUAUAUUUCACAAUUGGACAAACACCAUACAUUAGAAUAAAAAAAUCUCACAGUACAGACGACAUCUGUUUGCAUGUUUUGAAAAUAGAUUUUGAAAAUAGUUUAAUUACAUGAUAAUUAAAUUAUAUUAUAAAACUAAGAAUAUGAUUUAAGUACUAUUUUAGCAAUUUUGAGUCUCACAUUGAGUAUUCAAGUUAAUUAAAUGUUGAAACUCUUUUCUAUUUGGCUUGAAAUCACUACUUAAUUAAAUUACAAAAAGUCGAUAAUGAAUGAUGUAGGACACAUAUGUAAAAUAAAUUUUAAAGUGUAAUUAAACAUUCCUAUCAAUAUUAGUUUCGUAUACAUGUUCAUAUAUUUUAUUGAAACCAUAUAUAAUUAAAUUUUGUGUAAUUAAGUAAAAUAUAUUAUUCAAGUGAAUUUAUGAGAAUAUUUAAAAUUAUAGGGGUGGUCACUGAAAUUUGCCAAACUUGAGCCAACCGUGCAUGAUCCAAACAAUUUAUUUUAAUAAUUCUCAAUAUGUUAGUCUGUUUGACUGUUGGCAAAAUAAAUUCCUAUCAGCAAUGCAACACAAUUCAAAAUCAUAUCUGCAUACAACGAACAAUAUCUCAUCAAAGAUCAAAUUAUACAUUUUUUACACCAAAGCAUAAAUAUCUAAAUUAUCCCUCUUCAACUCACCAAGCUCAUACCUAACAACAGCAAGAUUAAAUGUCAUUUGAUCCAUCUUUUUUAGUAAGCUUUAUCAAUUCUUCUCAUGGUUGCAAUUUUGAAAGCUCGCUUCGCUAUUUCCAUUUGCUUUUAUGCUUUGUUUGAGCUCCAUCUUUUCUCUCCAUCUACAUUUUACACUGUAAAAAAAAUUUUAAAAAAAUUACAAAGCUUCUUAUACUAGAAUAUGAGCAACAAUAUAAAUAAUAAACAAUAAAGUUAUGAUAGCACAACAUACUCAUUAAAGUGCUUCUUUUUUUUUUUCAACAAGAAAUUACUACUGAAUUAAAGAAUUGGCUUUGCAUUAAGGUUUGCCUUCAAUAACUCAACUCCCCACUUGGGUUUUGUCGUUUUCUUAAAAUCUCUGCUCAAUCAAUUUAAAGAUCCAUUUUUUUUUUCUUUCCAAAGAUCUAAAAGCAAUGUCUUUUAUUGGUACCCAACAAAAAUGCAAGGUCUGUGAGAAGACAGUUUGUCCAGUUGAGCAGUUAUCUGCUGAUGGGGUUGUUUAUCACAAGUCUUGCUUCAAGUGCUAUCACGGCAAAGGCACACUCAAGCUAAGCAAUUACUCAUCCCUGGAAGGUGUUCUUUACUGUAAGCCUCACUUUGAGCAGCUUUUGAAGGAGUCGAGUAACUUCAACCAGAAUUUCCAAUUACCUGCAAAGUCAGCUGAGAAGUUAACUCCUGAGCUGAGAAGGUCGCCUAGCAAAGUUGCCAGCAUGUUCUCUGGGCCCAAUAAAAAUGUGCUUCUUGCAGUAAAACAGUGUGUCCGUGGGAGAAGGUAGCAGUGGAAAACCAAGCCUCUCACAAGACAUGUUUCAAGUGCUCACAUGGUGGUUAUUCCAUUAGCCCGUCAAAUUACGCAGCCCUAGAAGGCAUCUUGUAUUGCAAACAUAAUUUCUCCCAAUUGUUCAAGGAAAAAGGCAGCUACAACCACCUUAUAUCAAAUCUGCUCCCAUGAAGCGUGCUGCAGUCUCUGUUCAAGAAGCUUGAACACGUUAUGUUAUCUUCCAUAAAUCUUAUUUGGCGUGGGUUUUCUCUGGCUUGAGGGUGUGCUUUCUAUUUUGAUCCCUCUUGUUGUUUUUGCGGGGAACUACCAAACCUUCGGUUCCCUCUGCUUCUUUGGAUCAUCUUUGUUUGGACAAAUUUCAUGUAAUUAGAGAUACCGAUUUAUGGGAGGCAUAAUCCCAUGGUCGUAAAUUGACCAUUUUCUGGCAAUGUUCUUUUUAAAAAGAGAUGAGCAGUUGUUUAAAAAAAAAAAAAAUUGCUUGCCUUCAUCAUUGUAUAUUACCAAACUGCUAUGUAUAGCUGCUAACUAUGAGCAUCCGAAAAUAUGGUGCAUCGUGAUUCAUGUAGUGCAAUAUGGCUACCAACGCAUCCUAAAUGGAGUAUUACUCAGUUAGUCAGCAAAAUAAGACAACAUAACUGAUAUUAAAAAAAAAAAAAAACUACAUUAAUAAGUGGGCAAGAUCAUGCCAGUUUAACUUUUCGCGCGUCGCUGCUGGAGAUGAUCAAAUCGGGGCAUAGAAAAGGAGAAUGGAAUCAGAGGCUAAGAUUAAUAAGUGGGCUUCUGCUUGCUUUGCCCUCUUUCUUAAACGAUUGGUAGACUGCUGCUUCCGCCGAUUAACCGGGUCUUCAACCACUGCUUUUACUGCCUGCCAUCUUGUUGUUUGUCGAAGGGAUGAAUUCGAGUCGAAAAGAGAAAGCGCGCUGAAAAAGAUAAAUCACUAGUGGUUAACUGCUGACUCAGCCAAGUGUUGGCUUCACUUGAUUCACCGAUUGAGGUUAUUUUGUCUUCUAUCUAAUGCAGCGAAGAAGCUUUGCUGCUUAACAUGCUGCAAUGCAACUUUAUCCUUUGAAGUUCACACUCCAGGGCUGCGCACUUUAUGUAAUCCUAUGAGUAAAAAGAAUUUGUUUUCAAAUGUGAAAAAAGAAAAUGUAAGGUAGUAACUAAAUAUAUUAUAGCAUCAAAGCAAGAUUUGAUAUGAAUUUAGUACAACAAAGAACAUCAAAUCUGUGAUUCCUUGUCUAAUGUCACCAUCGAGCAACAAAUUUAAAAGCCUACCUAUCAAAUACACGAGGCAAUAAACGGAGAAAAAGUUGAAUUACAAGAACAAGUUUACAAUUCUUGUCAAUGGUUAAUGAUUUGUGAACUGAGAUAUCAUUCAAGAAUCCAAUUUCAAUACAACAACCUAAAAGAUAAACAGAUGAUGAAUUUUAUGAGAUAAAAAAGGAGAUCGUGUUUUAUCGUAUCUCUAUUUUCUUUCUUUUUAAAUUUAUGAGAUAAAGCGGUUGGUCCAGUUACGGUGUUAUGCUAACGGGUUUAAAGGUUCCGAUCCAAUGAGUUAGGGUGGAAUAUGAAUAUAUAAAUUCCAUAGCAUGUAAGGACUAGGAUUUGUUUGUUCAUAUCAAGAAAAAAAAUCUGAAAAUUUGAUGAUCAGAAGAUAAAAACACUUAAACACGUUUAAGUAUCAAUAAAUACUUGCUGCUGUAGUUUGAAAAUAAAAUGAGUUUAUCUUGUUGCUGUUUGAUAAAAAUUUAUACUAUUUUUAUUAAUUUUGUCAAAAUCAAUAUUUAGACAUUAUAUUUACCAAGCAUUAUCAUUUUUUUAAUCUCAUAAUUAAUUAAAAUUUUCAUUUCAUUCAAUACAGUAAUUAAUUAGAAUUGUAGCAUAAGCCCAUUUUAAUUUUCUUUCUUUAGGCUAUAUACGCUACUUAUAAGAAAAACUUAUGGACCAUUGACCUAGGCUUAUACAAUAAGCCAAUUUAGAAAUUGUAGACUCACUCUAUGGAUUACUCAUGAGUUGUGGAUGAUGAGUUCUUCACUAACGAAGUGCAUUGGAUAUCAUAUAACGUAAAAACACACAUUGUCAUUAGUCUAUUGCAAGCAUUCCCAUUUGGCACCGAAUCUUUCUCAUUAGCCUAUUGCAAGCGAUCCCAGCCACUUGGAAUCAAAAUUUAGUGAAUUUACAUAUGUUGUCUCGAAGUGGUGUCUCUUAUGGUUGGGUGUUUUUAUAAAUUUCUUAAUUGCUUCGAAUACCAUGGCUGAUGCAACCGUUUCUACUAUCUUGGAGCAGCUGAUUUCCUUCGCUGCUGAAGAGAUAAAACAACAGGUGAUCGAAGUUGCACCCCUCAUAUUACAAAUGCUUCCAAUGAUUUUAAUUGGUUUUGUUUUUAUCAAAAACAUUAUAUAUUUUUUCUUUAUUUUAUUUAUCUGGUAAUUUUAGAUUUUGAAAUUUGAAUUGAAUUUAAUUAAAAGGUGAUGUAGUAACCACUUAUUUUUAUUUUUUUUUAUUUAUAUUCUCAAUAACUACUCAUAGUUUGGUAACUUACUAUAACUUCCAUAUCUAAGAAAUGAUCCAAACCCACAAUUUUAACUCAAGUUUGUCAAACAGUCAUUAAUUCAAUGUUUAGUAAAAAAAACACUUCUCAGCACAGAAUUCCAUGUCCAUUACUUAGACUCUAUGAAAAAUUUCAUAAUUUUCUUACAUUCUUUGAGUUUGGUAAGUGAUUUCAUAUAUUUUCUAUUCAAUAUAAAUUUUAAUUUGUUUUCUUAUAUACUCUCUUUGCUGAAUUUGUAUCUUUUAUGAUUCUUAGAUUUUGGGCUCUAACUUUUUAGGAUUUGAUAGUCACAUUUUAUGCCAUGCUUAGAUUGAUUUUCAUGAUUUUUACUACCCGUUAAGUGACUUAGAAUUUGACAAAAGUUUGAAAGGAAAUCUGCUUCAGGAUUCUGUUUUAAUUGACCCUUUAGUGGAAAUAAAAUGCUUAUAACUUAAUGUGGAUGCUAUGUAAAAUCAUGAAAUUUGGAUAGAAUUAACUAGAAAUAUGUACAAGACUCUCCAUGAAGUCUCAUAAUUUUUCAUUCGGUCUGGGGUGUUACAGGUGAAGCUUGUGGUUGGUGUCGAAAAAGAAGUGAAAAGCCUUACCAGCCACCUUCAAGCCAUUCAAGCUGUGCUCGAUGAUGCAGAGGAAAAGCAAGUGAAGGACAAAGCUGUUAGACAUUGGCUGGGUAGGCUCAAGUAUGCAUCCUACGACAUUGAAGAUGUGUUGGAUGAGUGGAUCACAGGAAGACGCAAAUUGCAAAUUGAGGGUGGCAUUGGUGAAAAUGCUCUUAUUGCUCCUCAUAAGAAAAAGAAGGUACGUUUCUGCUUUCGUGCCUCUUGUCUUGGAUUCAAAACAGAAGAAUUUGGCUUCAAACAAGUCUUUCUACGUCAUGACAUUGCCAACAAGAUCAAAGAAAUGAAUGAAGAGCUACAUGAUAUUGCUACUCAAAAAGACAUGUUUAAUCUUGUUAAGAGUGGCAAUAACAGUAGUGAAAGACCAAGGCGUGUACAGAGUACCUCCUUGAUUGAUGAGGAAGAGAUUUGUGGUAGAGUUGGUGAGAAGAAUGAACUCAUAAGCAAGCUGUUGUGUGAGAGUAGCGAGCAACAAAAAGGCCUCCAUAUCAUCUCAAUUGUUGGUAUGGGAGGCAUAGGGAAAACUACUCUUGCACAACUAGCUUGUAAUCAUGACGAGGUGAAGAGAAAGUUCGACAAAAUUCUGUGGGUGUGUGUAUCAGAAACUUUUGAGGAGUUUAGGGUUGCCAAAGCAAUCGUUGAAGCUUUGGAUGGUCGUGAAUCUCAUUUAGGUGAAUUCCAAUCUCUUCUUCAACAUAUUGAUGAAUCCAUUGCAGGGAAGACCUUUCUUCUUGUCUUAGAUGACGUGUGGGAUGGAAAUUACUUGAAAUGGGAACCAUUCUACCGUUGUCUAAAGAAUGGUCUCCAUGGAAGUAAAAUUAUAGUUACCACACGUAGUGGGUCCGUUGCAUCCAUGAUGGGAUCCAUAGAUAUUAUUCCCAUUAAGGAAUUAGCUGAAGAGGAAUGUUGGUUGUUGUUUAACAAGAUAGCAUUUUUUGGUAGGCCUAUUGAGGAACGUGAAAAAUUAGAACAAAUUGGGCAAAGAAUUGCAGGCAAGUGCAAAGGUUUACCUCUUGCAGCAAAGACAAUAGGGAGUCUCAUGCGUUCUAAACAAACUGAAGAAGAGUGGAAAAGAAUUUUAAAUAGUGAUUUAUGGAAAGUAGAAGAGAUUGAGAAAGAUGUUUUGUCCUCUUUAUUGUUGAGUUAUAAUGAUUUGCCAUCUAGAGUAAAAAGAUGUUUUUCAUAUUGUGCUGUCUUUCCAAAAGACUACAAUAUAAAAAAAGACGAACUAAUCACAUUAUGGAUGGCUCAAGGUUAUCUUAGUGCAGAAGCAGCAGAACAAGAUGAGGAGUUGGAGACUAUAGGUGAAGAGUAUUUUGGCAUCUUAGCUUCUCGCUCUUUCUUUCAAGAGUUUGAGAAAAGUUAUGAUAAUCGUAUUAUAGAGUGCAAGAUGCAUGAUAUGGUACAUGAUUUUGCCCGCUUUGUAAGUCAAAAUGAAUGUUUUUCGAUGGCAAUUAAUGGUAGUGAAGAACCAAACGCCACAAACGCUCUUGAUGAGAAGGUCCGUCAUUUAAUGUUAAUAUUUAGUAAAGCGGCUUCAUUACCUAUUUCCACUCUUAGAGUUAAAAGAAUGCGUACCCUCUUAAUUAACGAUCAUUCAUUAUUAAAUGCUGCGAUCCUAGAAGAAUUAUUUAGGGAAUUGACAAGUUUAAGGGCAUUAGAUUUUGGCGGAUCGUACCACUCAACGCGGUUGUUGACUCCGGAGGUUCCGAGAAACAUAGAAAAGCUGGUACUACCGGAGACAUUGUGUGAGUUAUAUAAUCUAGAAAAGUUAGAUAUUAGUGAUUGUUUUAAUCUUAAAGAAUUACCUGAAGGGAUUGGGAAGUUAAUAAACGUGAAGCAUUUACUAAAUAGAGGUACUAAUUCUUUAAGGUACAUGCCAGUAGGGAUUGGGAGAUUAACAGGUCUUAGGACCUUGGGUGAGUUCCACGUGAGUGCAGGAGGAGGUGUUGAUGGUAGGAAAGCAUGUAGGCUUGAAUCUCUUAAAAACUUGGAACACCUUCAAGUAUGUGGUAUAAGUAGACUGGGUGAUGUAUCAGAUGUGGGCGAGGCUAAGCGAUUAGAACUUGACAAAAAGAAAUACCUCUCCAGUUUGACCCUUUGGUUUGAUAAGGAGGAGGAAGAAGAAGGAGAAAGAAGGAAGAACGAGGACAAUCAACUUCUUCUUGAAGCCCUGCGACCACCUCUCAAUUUAAAGGAAUUAGAGAUUGAGUACUACCGAGGCAACACUGUUUUCCCCAGCUGGAUGACGUCAUUAACCAACUUGAAGAGUUUAGAUCUCUCUUCCUGCGAAAAUUGCGAGCAGCUGCCUCCUUUGGGAAAAUUGCAGUCCCUUGAAAAUCUCCACAUAUGGCGCAUGGAGAGUGUGAAGAGAGUGGGUGAUGAAUUUUUGGGGAUAGAAAGUGAUCAUCAUGGCUCAUCUUCAUCUUCAUCGGUUAUUAUUGCCUUCCCCAAAUUGAAAUCACUUUCAAUUGAGGUUCUGCGCGAAUUGGAGGAGUGGGAUUAUGGGAUUACAAGAACGGGAAACACCGUCAUCAACAUCAUGCCACGUCUUUCUUCAUUGACAAUUAAUUACUGCUCCAAAUUAAAGGCACUGCCCGACCACUUUCAUCAAACGACAACAUUGAAGGAAUUGCACAUUUGGAAGUGCAGGCUUCUGGAAGAACGUUAUUGCAAUGGGGAAGGAGAAGACUGGUCUAAGAUAUCACACAUUCCCAACCUCCAUAUUGGGCUUUGACAAGUAAUUUCUUCUCUUACUCUGAUUUGCUUUGUUGUUGUUUUUAAUCUAAUUAAGAAGCGUAAAUAGCAUUUUGAAUCAAACUCUAUAUCAGAAAUCUGCAAUACUUACUUUCUAAUAUUCUGAUUUUCAUAUCCUAUGAAUAUACGAUUUUUAAUUUGUGAGAUGGGUAACGUUACUGUAAAAGAUUAUUAAUGCAAUAUGAGUAAUUCUUUUGCAGGACAAGUGACCUACAUUUAGUUUGGCUUUGGAGUUGAAUAAUAACCUUUCGAGGUCCCGACAACCAAAAAACGAAGCUUAAUUUGCCACAGAUUGCACGUAUUGCCAUUAUUGACAAUUUUCUGCACAAGCGUGACUGAACUUAGGUUGAUGUCAAAAGAGGUAAAUUAUUGGCAUGCCUGACUAUUUUGACCAUUACAUGAUUCAUAAGUUUACAUUAAUUUUGAUUUUGAGUUGAGUGAUUAAUUUUCUAUGUUUGCUUACUUUAACUGGGUGACCAAUUUCUUGUAACUAAAUGUAUGAUGUGAUGCAGGAAGCAGGGCAGGAUAUGAAAAGAGAAGCUUAUUAGAGGAAGGAUUGCCAGUAACAGAAUCCAAAGAAAAAGAAACCAUUUCGAGGCAGCAGUUGGCAGUUGGCAGUGAAUGGAGCCCCUUGAAAAAGUUCCCAAGCCGUUGCACUGCAAUUACGAUCAUCCUCGGCCUCAGGUAAUUUCUUCUCCUGCAUUUUUGUUAUUUGCUAUCAAGUGACUAUUUUAAGUAUGAUUGCAUUAAGCUGCUACUGGGAAAUUUGAGGUUUUGAGGACUGCCCAUGCUAUUGUCAGAAGCUGCGGUUCUUUUCAUCAGCCUGAACCUGGACCUGCCGCUAUGGAUAACUCAGGUUUUUUUUUUUUUUAAUCAACUGCCAUCUUUUCCACUGUUUAGAAACUCUUAAGAUUAAACUUUAGUAAAGAUGUUUUAGUUAUCCAUGUAAUCAGGCUGAGGAUACUUAGCUGCCUAUUUAGGCAAAUGUCAGAAUUUAGUUUGUUCGCUGGGAACUGGUGUGGACUGGCAAAGGAUGAUGAGAUAGUUUUUUGAGUGAGUAAAUUUUGGGAGCUUGAGUGUAUUGGGAUUUGCAAUUACAAUCAUCCUCUGCCUCAGGUGAUUUCUUCUCCUGCUCUGUCAUUGUUUGUUCUCUAAUUCAAAAGCAUAAAAUAUUUCAAUCAAUUUUUAUACCAGGAAUAUGCAAAAGUUUCUAAUAUUUUAUUUCCAUCUGUUACAAGAUCAAACUGAAGCAGAACUCAAUCAAAAGUAUGCUGCUUCUUGCGGAAAUCUUGCCUUUGUUCAGAUUAUGAAACCAUUUCCAUGCAGCAAAUUCAUCCAAAAAUUUGAAUAAGUUUCACGGUUGGACACUGUUGGCUUCUUUUUCUUCCGGGGUGCAUUUAGGUGCUAUCAAGUGACAGCUGUAAGUAUGAUUGCACUAAGCUGCCGCUGGGAAAUUUGAGGUUUUGAUGGCUGCCCAUGUUAUUUUCAAUAAACUAUUGAUGUAAGAAGCUGUGGUUCUUUUCAUCAGCUUGAACCUGAAACUGUCGCUAUGGAUAACUCAGGUUUUUGUUAUCAACUAUAUCAUCUUUUUCACUAUUUUGAAACUCUUAAGAUUAAACUUUAGUAAAGUUGUUUCAGCUAUUCAAAUGAAAAACUCAUUGAUUUGAGACUUCCUUCAUUAUUGUUUCUAAUUACAAUGCUAACGAUCCAGAUAAAAUAAUAUUUAAUCAACGAAGGUGUUGAUUGAUUUGAGACUUCCUUCAUUAAUGUAGACUUCCUUCAUUAUUGUUUCUUUUUCUUUUAUUCUAUAAAAUCUUGCAAUGAGCUUAGUGAAGCUGUUGUGCUAAUCAUGCCACUGCAUAAUUUGGCCCCUAAUGUGAGUACUCUGUUACAUUGUUCUGCAAAUUCUCCAGAAGUUAAAAUCAAUAAAUUUUCUAUUAGCUCUAGUGCUUUGACCUAAAUGCUAUUCUAUAUUCUGAUUACAAUGUUUUAACCUUUAAAUUAACUACCCCUAGAUGUUGGAUUUUCUAGAACUUCAAAAUGAUUAAUGGAGAAAGAUCCCAUUAUCGUUAUUGCUAUAAGAAAUUGAUUUAUGCAUCCAAAGAUACAUUAUAUGUUUCUGUGUCUCUAUUUAUAGAUGACACCUAAGCAUCCCAUUAUCUAUUAUUUAUUUUAUAUUUUGAAGAAUUUAAUGGGUAAUCCUAAUUGUUUGUUUAGGCAGGUAUGUGUUGUUAUCUCCUUCUAUCUUACAGUCGUACCUAAAUAGCAUAGUUUCAUCUGUGUUACCAUGUGAUGUACAUAAUUUCACAUUUGCCUCAGAUUAAGCUUAAUUUCCCACAGAAUAGAGCUGCCGCGACUGGACUUAGGUUGAUGUCCAAAGAGGUAAAUUAUUGGCAUGCCUAGAUAAUUUGGCCAUUUCCUAAUUCAUAAGUCUACAUUAAUUUUGAUUUUGAGUUGACUGAUUUCUUUUCAAGGUCUGCUUCCUUAACAGAGUGACCAAUGUUUUUCAACUAAAUUUAUCAUAUGAUGCAGGAAGCAAGGCAGGAUAUGAAAUGAGAAGCUCAUUGGUGGAAGUAUUGCCAGUAAGAGAACCCAAAGAAAAUGAAUCUAUUUCAAGGCAGCAGUUGGCAGUUGCAAGUGAAUGGAGGCCCUUGACAAAAUUCUCAAGCGGUUGCAAUGCAAUUACGAUCAUCCUCAGCCUCAGGUAAUUUCUUCUCCUGCUCUGUUUUUAUUUGUUAUCUAAUUAAGAAGCAUAAAGUAUCUUGAAUCACUUUAUGUAUCUGGAAUAUAUGCAGCAGUUUCUAAAAUUUUGAUAUGAGUGUAAUGAUGGUAAUUUCUGUUUUUUGUCUGUCAUUGAAUGUUAGACAACUUUCAGUGAGACUCUUGAACCGAGACAUUUUGGACAAAUGAAGGACAAGUGCUGAAGAGUGGGAAUGGUGCUAGAUUGGGGAAUAAAGACAAAGGUGGUAAAUUAUUUGCAGUUUAUUCAGCAUUAUUUGCUUUCGACCAGCGCCUGAUUCACAAGUCUACAUAAUUUGGCUUUUGACCAGUUGUUAAUAAAUUUUUAAUUCCAUUGGUGCUAAAUGUACACGUGAAGCAGGCAGAGCAGGACUGUGGAAAUGAGAAGCUUUUUAGGGAAAGCUUAAACUCAGGUAAUUCUAAAAAUUAAUUCUGAUUGUUCCGAUUUAUCUAAAUCAGGAAAUUUUAUUUCCAUCUGUUACAAUAAAACAGAAACAGAACACAGAGAAAAAUAUUCUACUUCUUGUGGCAAUCUUGCCUUCAUUCAGACUAUGAAACCAUUUCCUUUCACCAAUUUCUUCCGAAAGUUUGAACACGUUUCAUGGUUGGACAUAGUUAGCUUCUUUUUCUUUUGGUGCAUUUAGGUGCUAUCAAGUGACAACCAUAAGUAUGAUUGCAUUAUUGGGAAAUUUUAGGUUUUGAUGGCUCCCCAUGUUAUUGCCAAGAAAUUUUAAGUCCUCAUGUCAGAAGCUGCGUUUCUUUUCAUCAGACUGAACCCGAACCUGUCACUAUGGAUAACUGAGGUUUUUGUCAUCAACUCUAUCAUGUUUUUCACUGUUUUGAAACUCUUAAGAUUAAACUUCAGUAAAGUUGUUUCAGUUACCCAUGUAAUCAGGCUAAGGAUAUUUAGCAGCUUAUUUAGGCAACUGCCAGAAUUCAGUUUGUUCGCUCGAAACUUGUAUGGUGACAAGGAUACUGGCAAGGAUAGUGAGAUAGUUUUUUGUGUGAGUGAAAUUUGAAAGCUUGGGUGUUCUGGGAUUUGCAAUUGCAAUCAUCCUCUGCUUUAGGUGAUUUCUUCUCCUGUUCUGUCUUUAUUUUCUCUCUAAUUGAAAGCAUAAAGUAUUUCAAUCAAAUUCUGUACCAGGAAUACGAAAAAUUUACUAAUAUUUUAUUUCCAUCUGUUUGCAUUGAUAACUUGGCCGCAUAUGUACUAGUUAAAGAACAAACAGAAGCAGAGUUCAGGAAAAAGUUUCUUCGGCCACCAUAUUUGAAAAUGAAACCAUUUCCAGGAAGCAGUUGGCAGCAAAUUCAUACAAAGUAUAGACAAUGAUGAGCAAAAAGGUGAUUUGCAAUUUCAUUUUUUUAAAAUGAAAUUAUUUGUUAAGUUGGAGCUGAUAUUGUUAGAAGGCCACUGAGCUAACCUAUGACACUGCUUGCCUAGAUUGCAGGAGGUCAAGACUCAAAAGAUGCACUGAAUUUUAAAAGGCAUGCAAUAAUUCUUAUGGCCAUUUGUCAAUGGUGGAAGGCUUUUAGCUUCUUUUCCUUUCGUGCAUUUUGGGGUUCUAUCAAGCGACAGCCGUAUGUAUGGAUGGAUAUAGCUGAAGGACAACAUUUGUCCAUGAGGUUCCUAAAAUCGCAACUUUUGUGCAGUAAAAUUAAAACGGACGGCGGAAGCUCUAGAAACCUCGGAUCGGCUUCAUUCAAAAACUAAAAUCAAGAGGAAAGAUUGAAGUUUAAUUACCUCACUUGCAGUUUCGAAAAAGACUUCUUGAGGUAGGAGAAAACGACUGAAAACAGCAAGCUACGAACACUGUCCAGAAAAUACAGCUCUGCACGAACAGCUUCUGUUUUGCCACGAUCUGAGAUCCUUAAGCACCCCAAUUGUGAUGCCUCUAAUUAUUCCACACUUAUAAAUGUUCUAGGAGUUCAGAGGAUUUUGAAUCACGAAAUUUCGUUUAGAAAUGAGAGAGAUAAUGAUGAAACAUGAAUGCUAGUUCAUGAUGAUUCCCCUUCCACCAAAUAAAGCACCAUUAUGUCUAAUAAUGGCACCAAACAUUAUCAUGUGCUAGACCCAUCCACUUAGCUAUAAUUUAUUGAAAGUGAUCUUAUCACUUAAAUAAAUUAUUUAAUCAAAUUAAUAAAUAGCUAAAUUAAUUAAUUUCGUAAUUAAUUAAUUAACCCCAUUUUGAUCAAAUCAAAUGGUUAAAUGUGGGCUCAUUUUGUGACAUGUUCUAAUGCUUUCUCUUAAUCCAUAUUAGAUCCAAUAAAAGCCCAAAAUUCUAAACCCAAAAAUGGUCUAGAAGUCCAUAAUCAUAUAUGAACCCGAACAUGUCCAAAAUGGUCAUUUUACGUGCUCGAUAUUACAUAAUGUUUAAUGGAGGAUUUACGAAAUUUAUUUUGUUCCUUAAACUAUUUAUGGAACAUCUAAAUUUCUAUCUUAAAUCAUAUUUAAGAUAUAUUUAUAUAUAUAUGUAUAUUCAUUCUCAAUGAAUUAUAAUAUAAAUAUUGAUUUUCCUAAAAAUAGGAAAUUUAACUUCUCAUUUUCUAGUAACUCCUUUUUCAUUUCUAUUUAAUGUGUGACCUUUUAGGUUCUUAGUUAUAAGGUAGUAGAACUAUUUUAAUGAUAACUCUUUAUUCAUUAAAUGAUGCUAAACUCUUUAGUCAUCAAUUAGAACUCUUCUAAUGACCUUAAGAUGCAUUGAUAAUACGCUUUACCAAUAUUGAUCUUAAGGUUUCUACAAGUCAUGAGUGACACCUAGCAGUAUAUCACAACUAUCCAAAUAACAAGAAUUGUUGGAUCUAUAGAACCUAUUCCAUUGUACCUCUAUGUCUUGGUCUCUUCAUCAUCCAUGUCCAAAGAAAAGCACGGCUUAUGGUUUAUUAUGUUAAGCACUUAUGCUUUAUCUCAAAACAAAUCUAAAUGAACUUGACAUGAAAAUAUAAUUUGAACUCCUUCAAAUAUAUUUCACCUUGGCCAAGGAUUUCUCAUGCCAAUUCAUAUUAUCUCAUAGGGACAUCCUUUUUGUAUAUUACAAAGUGAUGAAUUCCAUAUUGGCCAUGCACUAGUCUUCAUACAUAUCCAACCAUGACAGUUAUUGCUAGAUCUCUUCCGUGAUUAGGAAUCAAUCAUUAUGCAUUCACAUAUCAGAGAUGUCUAUGUAUAAGACAUCUGUUAUGCCUCAGGUCUAAAAACCAUUACUAAACAUAGUGUUUAAUACAAUGUAUAAUAAGCCAUUAACACUCAAGACCAUAUAGCUUACUAUAUUUGGUCAAGUUUAGUAAACUUGUUCUCUCAACAAGUAUCUAUGUGUUUGACUUGACAUCUCAUGUCAAUGAUAUGAAACUCACCAUCUAUUUUAGUAUCACAUACCAUAAGGAGUCAUAACACAUACUAGUGUUUAUAGAAAUUUAUAAUGUCCAAUCAUAAAUCCACCACUAGGAACUAUUUUAGAAGUAUAGUACAAAGGAUACACGUUUCAUAUUCUCGACAAACUCGAGAAUGUGUUCCUUAACUAUUUUACAUCUUGGACUAUAUUCAUUAAAUUAAUUAAUGAAUAUUGAUAACUUUGCCAUUUUAUAAAUAUCAAAAUGCUAUUCAAAUACGAUAAUUCCCUAAACAAACAAACACCAUUUGAUUGGCCUUUAGGGCAUAUUACUAACAAUCUCCCACUUGCACUAAAGCCAAUCGCUAUGGUAUCUCAUACCCAUCUUCUCAAGAUGACGAUCUAACUCUUGUUGAGUAAGUGCUUUAGUCAGAGGAUCCGCAGUGUUAUCAGCGGAGGCUACUUUCUGCAUAGUGAUAUCACUCCUUCCAAUGAUUUCUUUGAUAAUGUGAUAUCUUUUUUCUAUGUGUUUGGACUUCUAGUGAGACCUUGGUUCCUUAGCUUGUGCUAUAGCUCCAUUGUUGUCACAAUAUAAAGAGAUUGACAACGCAAUGGUUGGAACCACUUCAAGUUGUUGAAUAAACUUCCGUGUCCAAACAGCUUCUUUUGCUGCAUCUGAUGCAACUAUAUAUUUCGCUUCAGUGGUAGAAUCUGCAGUAAUUGUUUGCUUAGAACUUUUCCAGCUUACUGCUCCACCAUUGAUAGUGAAUAAAAUCCUGAUGUAGAUUUUCUAUCAUCUACAUCUGACUGGAAAUCUGAAUAUGUGAAGCCUUCAAUUUUUAGCUUACUUUCUCCAUAUGUUAAGAACAAAUCUUUAGUUCUUCUGAAGUACUUAAAGAUAUUCUUAACUGCGGUCCAAUAUUCCUCACCCGGAUUACUCUGGUAUCUGCUAGUGACACUCACUGCAUUGAGCUAUAUCCGGUCUAGUACAUAGCAUAGCAUACAUAAGACUUCCAAUUGCAGAAGCAUAUGGAAUCUUAUUCAUUCGCUCUAUCUCAUCAUAAGUUUUAGGACUCAUGCUUUUAGAGAGAUGAAUUCCAUGUCUGAAGGGUAUAAAACCCCUUUUGGAAUCCCACAUAUUAAAUUUCUUUAAUAUCUUUUCUAUGUACUUAGCUUGACAUAGACCUAUUAAUUUUCUGGAUCUAUCUCUAUAAAUCCUGAUUCCCAAGAUAUACAUUGCAUCUCCUAGGUCUUUCAUGGAGAAGUUUUGAGAAAGCCAAAUUUUGACAGAAGACAUUUGUCCAAUGUCAUUUCCUAUAAGUAAUAUGUCAUCUACAUAUAGCACAAGGAAAGAUAUUGCACUCCCACUAACCCUUUUGUAAACACAUGGUUCAUCCUCAUUCUUGAUGAAACCAAAUGAUUUGAUUGCAUCAUCAAAUCGGAUGUUCCAGCUCCUGGAGGCUUGUUUUAGCCCAUAAAUGGACUUUCUUAGCUUGCAUACUUUAUGAGGAUUUGUCUUAGAUUCAAAACCACAAGGUUGUAUCAUAUAGAUAUCUUCCUCAAUGUACCCAUUAAGAAAUGCAGUUUUGACAUCCAUUUGCCAAAUCUCAUAGUCAUAAUAUGCUGCUAUAGCCAAUAAGAUUCUGAUGGACUUUAGCAUGGCUACUGUUGAAAAGGUUUCCUCAUAGUCGAUACUUUGUAUUUGACGAUAACCUUUAGCUACCAACCUUGCUUUAUAGGUCUCUACCUUUCCAUCUAAGCCGAUCUUCCUCUUGAAGAUCCACUUGCAUCCAAUAGGUAUAAUACCUUCGGGUGGAUCCACUAGAGUCCAGACUUGAUUGGUUCUCAUAGAGUCCAUCUCUAAAUCCAUGGCUUCAAGCCAUUUCUUAGAGUCAAUAUCUGAUAUUGCCUCUUCGUAACUAGUAGGAUCAUCUCUAUGAUUUGUAUCACCCAAUAAAAAAUAUAUCGUUCAUCUGAUGAAGAAAACCAUAUCUUUCUGGUGGGUGAAUUAUUCUAUUAGAUCUACGGAGCUGCUGUGUUCCUUGUGUUUGUACUUGAACAAGUUCUUCAUUGGAUUUAUCCUCAUUAGAAUUCUCAAUAAAUUCUAUUUUUCUUCCUUGUCCACCUUCUUGAAUAAACUCUUUUUCAAGAAAUAUGACAUUUCUACUGACCAAUACCCUUUGAUCAGAUUGGAUGUAAAAGUAAUAACCCAAAGUUUCCUUUGGGUAUCCAAUGAACCUCCCACUAUCCGCUUUAGCUUCAAGUUUCUCACUCUUGAGUCUCUUGAUAAAAGCAGGACAUCCCCAAAUCCUAAGAUGAUUUAGGCUUGGUUGUUUACCAUACCACAUCUCAUACGGUAUUUUAGGUACAGACUUGGAAGGUACUCUGUUUAGUACAUAUGUUGCAGUAAGGAGAGCAUAUCCCAAAGAGAAAUUGGUAAGUCUAUAUAACUCACCAUUUAUCGCACCAUGUCUAACAGUGUGCGAUUUCUCCUCUCAGAUACUCCAUUAAGCUCUGGUGUACCUGGAGGUGUCCAUUGUGAAACAAUACCAUUUUCUUUAAGGUAAGACUGGAAUUCUCCACUGAGAUAUUCACCACCUCGAUCUGAUCGUAGGGUUUUAAUAACUUUUCCAGUCUGUUUCUCUACUUCAUUUCGGUAUUCUUUGAACUUUUCAAAGGCUUCAGAUUUAUAUUUCAUUAAGUAUACUGAACUAUACCUUGAGUGAUCGUCGAUAAAAGUUAUGAAGUAGUAAUAUCCACCCCUUGCCAUUUCAUUAAAUGGUCCACAUACAUCAGUAUGUAUAAGUUCAAGUAAAUCAGUGGCCCUUGUACUUCGUCCAACGAAGGGUGCCCUGGUCAUUUUUCCUUGAAGGCAUGAUUCACAAGUUGGAUAAGGUUCUAAACCAAAUGGACCUAUUAGUCCAUCUUUAGCCAAUUUUGUGACUCUAUCUUCUCCAAUAUGACCUAGCCUUAAAUGCCACUUAUAUUUGGGGCUUAUUUCUUCUCUUUCACGUUUAUGUGUUAUGGUAUUUACAUUCACAACAUGCUCAUUAUUUUCUUUCAUGUUUAGUACAUAUAGAUCAUUAUCUAAAGUACCAUGUGCAACAUAUUUAUUCUCAUGAUAAAUAUUACAAAUUUUAUUUCUGAAAUAAAAUUCAUAAUUGUCUUUGCAUAAACAUGAAAUUGAAACUAUGUUCCUUACAGCAGAAGGAACAAAUAAACAAUCAUUCAAACUUAUUACAUGCCCAGAUGUCAUUUUUAAGAAAAAUGUCCCUAUAGCUGAGGCAGCAACUAUUGCUCCAUUUCCCACUCUAAGAGACACUUCUCCUUGUUUAAGUCUUCUACUUCUUUUCAGAUCCUGCAUUGACAUACAAAUAUGUGCGGUCGCAGCAGAAUCUAAAAUCCAAGAAGUAGAAUGAAUGAUUGAAAUAUUAGUUUCAAUAAUGAGCAUACCUUCAGAAGGAUUCUCUUUAGGCUUGACUUUCAAGCUGUUGAGGUAAGAUUUGCAAUUCCUCUUCCAAUGCCCAUUCUUACCGCAAUGGAAACAUUUUCCCUUGUCAUUGGGCUUAUUAGCUUUCCCCUUCUUAAUCCCACCUUUAGCCUUGGGUUGAAACUUUUUCUUUUUACCCUUUUUAGUUGAGGGCCCUUCUAUAGCCAUAACAUCUUUUGGCUUCUUUAUGCAAGUUUCAGCAGUAUUAAGCAUCUUUAGCAGUUCAGCAAGACUGCACUCCAUUUUAUUCAUGUUAAAAUUCAUGAUAAAUUGAGAGCAUGAGUCUGGCAAGGACUGUAGGAUAAGGUCGAUAGCUAAUUCCCCAUCCAUUGAGAAAUUAAGAGCUUCCAGCUGCUCUAUGUAGUCAAUCAUUUUGAGUACAUGAUCAUUGACCGAUCCUUCAGUCAUUCUCAUUCUGAACAGUUUCUUAGAUAUCUCAUACCUAACUGUUCUGCUUUGUUCACCAUACAACUCUUGUAAAUGAAGUAUCAUGGAACUUGCAUCAGGCAUAUUUUCAUGUUGCCUUUGUAGUUCAUUGGACAUCGAUGCCAAUAUAUAGCUUUUAGCACUUAGGUCAUCAUCUUGCCACUUCUGAUAAGUGACACGAUCUGCCUCACUUGCUCCCUCAGGAAUUUCAUUUAGAUUAGAUGUAUCAAGAACAUAGCUAAUUCUCUCAUAAUUAAGAACAAUUCUUAAAUUUCUGAACAAAUCAACGUAAUUAGGUCCCGUCAAACGGUAGUUUUCCAGAAUUCGUGCUAACAGAUUAUUCAUUAUUAAGUAUUUCUGCAGAAAGUAUAAAUUAAAUUAUUAGCAUUUUAUUUUAUUAUAAUCUAUUUGAUUUUGGUCUUUAAACCAAAUAGUGCCUCCUGUUGAGUGUUAGAAAAUGCAUAUUUAUAAAGGAGAAAACCGUCAUUUUACAUUUCAAGUCUUAUUAACAACCCUUACUUUUAUGUAUUUAACAUUCUUGUGAUUUAAUUACAUGUGUUUAUUUUAAUUAAGUAAUUUAUGUAUUUUAGGGGCAUUAUAGUCAUUUCACAAUAAAAGAGAGAUCAGACGGCAAAACGGACAUCACUUUUGAACUCAGGACGGUCGAAAACCUUAGGAGGAGCAUAAAAGGAAAAAUGACACUAUUCACAUGUACGGUACUAUUCACGGGUACGGUAUUGUCUACGUUACUGUUCACGACAAUGUUCACAUAGACGGAUCAAUGACGUGGCAUUGAUUGAUGACGUGGCAUUGACUGAUGAGGUGUCACGAUCCUGUUGGACUAAAAUUCUUAUAUACUGUUGAUGGUGACGUGGCAGCAUAUUAGUGGACGAAAAAUCUCGCGUACGGUGCAUGCAUCACACAGGAUUAUUUUCAACCAAACCGCGUUACUGUUCAUCCGGGUCAAACCGUGUUACUGUUCAUCCGCGUGGUCAAACCGUGGACUCUUGACUGAUGACGUGGCGCAAUCUUGAGCGUCCAAACUGUUUUUAAUCCGAUGGCCAUGAUUUACUCCAUGUAUCUAUAAAAAGGGGGCCUCUCCCCCCUAAUUUGAUAUCUCUGAAUCCAUUUUUGGGAUCCAUUUUCUGUAAUUCCUUCUCCAUCUUGUAUUUUCUUCAUAUUUUAAUAAAUUUCCAUUUUGCCCCUAGUUCAAUUAUGAGUGGCUAAUUUUCUUUCAAGCUUGGGUUGAAGGUGAAGUCUCAACAUGUGUCAUGGGCUUUAUUUGGUAAAUUUAUUUUCUCUUCCCCUCUAGUUUUUGUGGAUGUUUUGACUUCUCGUCGACAAAUAAUACUAAUCUUGUCUAGUACCGCCUUGGUUUCACCGGCCUUCUAGUACAAGGUUAUUAUUAUUUGGCACGAUAAGCCCUUAGCACCAUAUUGAUUAGAGCGUGGUUCAUGAGGUGUGGAUUCCCCCUUCAUGAUUUAAUUGGCAUUAAUACGGAUUAUAUAGCCCAUGAUGCAUGUUGAUACGGAUCCAGAUACCCAAGUACGUCAAUUUAAUAGAUUUCAUUUUCAAGUUAUUCUUGCCAUUUCAAUUCCAAUUUUAGAAUUUAUUCUCGCCAUUUUAAUUUAAGUUUUAGCAUAUUCCAAAUCAUUUCAACCACAAAUCCCACCACCCAUUUCCAAAAUUAAUUCUACACAUAAUUAAAAUCCACCUCCUCGUGGGAUCGACACUCGUCACCAUUAGUCUAUACUACAAUAGAUUCGUGCGCUUGCGAGUACAUUAAAAUUUGCACAACACGUCCCACUAUUUUAUCAUUUCCUUACACUCCCAUAUGUAAGAAACGGAAACUCUCAUUGGUAAAAGUUUCUAGUAGGAAUCAGAUUCUCAUUAGCCUAAGUUUACCUCACCUAACAGUUCUUGGCUUACUUAUUAUAAUGAGUAGGUAACUCUUACCAAAUGCAUCUCAUGCAUGUACCGAUUAUCCUUCGGCCUCUAAAUCAUUAAUACCUCACCUGACAGUUCUUAGUAUAAAUGAUUUAGUUAAGUUUACCCUAAUACCCUUGCAUAUUUUCAUAACGUCUUACUAACUUCACCUAACAGUUCUUGGUAGCUUAAUGUAUGAAUUACGCAUCAUCGCAUGAUAUAUGGUUUAUUUUCAACAUUUUAAUGAAUGAGUAGCCCAUGUAUCUAUGACAACUAGCCCAAGCAUAAAAUAUUUUAAAUAUUCCAUUGGUAUUAGUAGGCCAUGAUGGAUAUUCUCAAUAUUCAUCAUUACAACUUAACAAUAAUUAUGUUUAUUUAAUUAGGGAGUAUUUGGUCAUUAUUAUGGUCUCACUUUUUAGCAUGUUAUUCCAUUUUCAAUAUUCAAAUAUGUCUAAGCACCCUAAUAUACAUCUCAUGCAUAUUAUAGACAAGCCAACUAAGGAUGAUCAUGGAAUUUUCUAAUAAAACCAAUUUGAGCCAAAAUUAGUUUUAAGGUCCACCUAGGUAUCAAGCAAACAAUAAUAAUUAUGAGACAUCCCAUGCCUCAAAUUAUCAAGCAAACAAUAAUGAUUAUGAGACAUCUUAUGCCUCAAAUUAUUACAAUUAUUAAUUUCUAUUUGAAUGGCCAAAAUAUCAUUGGAAGUGAUGCAACGAUCCACAAAGACUUCUUACUCCAACCUCCAAGGCAUCGCAACGUCCCUCCUUUGACAAUCAUCUUGUAGAAAUUACAUAUUUAGAAGAAUUGGAGUACAAAUUUAGGGGUAAUGGGAUACAAUCAGAUCUUAAUAGAAGGAGAGACAUGCAAGUCCCUAUUUAAAAAUAUAACAACCAUUUAAGCCUUUAGAAAUCGGCCAAAUCAACAAAUAAAUCAAUAGAUCAUUCAAUCACACAUAUAUUCAUUCAUCACAUGACAUAAAUAUAUCAUAAAAUAUCUAGGUCUUUCCAUGAUCGUCCUUCAUGCUAUUAUAAAUGGAAAUAACAUAAAUCAUGCUUCAAAAAUGCGAAAUUGAAUGAAGAUGGCUCUGAUACCACUUGAAGGACAACAUUUGUCCAUGAGGUUCCUAAAAUCGCAACUUUUGUGCAGUAAUAUUAAAACGGACGGCGGAAGCUCUAGAAACCUCGGAUCGGCUUCAUUCAAAAACGAAAAUCAAGAGGAAAGAUUGAAGUUUAAUUACCUCACUUGAAGUUUCGAAAAAGACUUCUUGAGGUAGGAGAAAACGACUGAAAACAGCAAGCUACGAACACUGUCCAGAAAAUACAGCUCUGCACGAACAGCUUCUGUUUUGCCACGAUCUGAGAUCCUUAAGCACCCCAAUUGUGAUGCCUCUAAUUAUUCCACACUUAGAAAUGUUCUAGGAGUUCAGAGGAUUUGGAAUCACGAAAUUUCGUUUAGAAAUGAGAGAGAUAAUGAUGAAACAUGAAUGCUAGUCCAUGAUGAUUCCCCUUCCACCAAAUAAAGCACCAUUAUGUCUAAUAAUGGCACCAAACAUUAUCAUGUGCUAGACCCACCCACUUAGCUAUAAUUUAUUGAAAGUGAUCUUAUCACUUAAAUAAAUUAUUUAAUCAAAUUAAUAAAUAGCUAAAUUAAUUAAUUUCGUAAUUAAUUAAUUAACCCCAUUUUGAUCAAAUCAAAUGGUUAAAUGUGGGCUCAUUUUGUGACAUGUUCUAAUGCUUUCUCUUAAUCCAUAUUAGAUCCAAUAAAAGCCCAAAAUUAUAAACCCAAAAAUGGUCUAGAAGUCCAUAAUCAUAUAUGAACCCGAACAUGUCCAAAAUGGUCAUUUUACGUGCUCGAUAUUACAUAAUGUUUAAUGGAGGAUUUACGAAAUUUAUUUUGUUCCUUAAACUAUUUAUGGAACAUCUAAAUUUCUAUCUUAAAUCAUAUUUAAGAUAUAUUUAUAUAUAUAUGUAUAUUCAUUCUCAAUGAAUUAUAAUAUAAAUAUUGAUUUUCCUAAAAAUAGGAAAUUUAACUUCUCAUUUUCUAGUAACUCCUUUUUCAUUUCUAUUUAAUGUGUGACCUUUUAGGUUCUUAGUUAUAAGGUAGUAGAACUAUUUUAAUGAUAACUCUUUAUUCAUUAAAUGAUGCUAAACUCUUUAGUCAUCAAUUAGAACUCUUCUAAUGACCUUAAGAUGCAUUGAUAAUACGCUUUACCAAUAUUGAUCUUAAGGUUUCUACAAGUCAUGAGUGACACCUAGCAGUAUAUCACAACCAUCCAAAUAACAAGAAUUGUUGGAUCUAUAGAACCUAUUCCAUUGUGUCUCUAUGUCUUGGUCUCUUCAUCAUCCAUGUCCAAAGAAAAGCACGGCUUAUGGUUUAUUAUGUUAAGCACUUAUGCUUUAUCUCAAAACAAAUCUAAAUGAACUUGACAUGAAAAUAUAAUUUGAACUCCUUCAAAUAUAUUUCACCUUGGCCAAGGAUUUCUCAUGCCAAUUCAUAUUAUCUUAUAGGGACAUCCUUUUUGUAUAUUACAAAGUGAUGAAUUCCAUAUUGGCCAUGCACUAGUCUUCAUACAUAUCCAACCAUGACAGUUAUUGCUAGAUCUCUUCCGUGAUUAGGAAUCAAUCAUUAUGCAUUCACAUAUCAGAGAUGUCUAUGUAUAAGACAUCUGUUAUGCCUCAGGUCUAAAGACCAUUACUAAACAUAGUGUCUAAUACAAUGUAUAAUAAGCCAUUAACACUCAAGACCAUAUGGCUUACUAUAUUUGGUCAAGUUCAGUAAACUUGUUCUCUCAACAAGUACCUAUGUGUUUGACUUGACAUCUCAUGUCAAUGAUAUGAAACUCACCAUCCAUUUUAGUAUCACAUACCAUAAGAAGUCAUAACACAUACUAGUGUUUAUAGGAAUUUAUAAUGUCCAAUCAUAAAUCCACCACUAGGAACUAUUUUAGAAGUAUAGUACAAAGGAUACACGUUUCAUAUUCUCGACAAACUCGAGAAUGUGUUCCUUAACUAUUUUACAUCUUGGACUAUAUUCAUUAAAUUAAUUAAUGAAUAUUGAUAACUUUGCCAUUUUAUAAAUAUCAAAAUGCUAUUCAAAUACGAUAAUUCCCUAAACAAACAAACACCAUUUGAUUGGCCUUUAGGGCAUAUUACUAACAAUAGCUGCUGCGUUGAUUUCUAAUGCGGUGGAGUAAUCGUCGUUAGAAUCUGAAUGAUAUGUCUAAGACGUUGCAUGCAUCAAGAAAAUUGCAGACGAUUAAACCUUGCCAUCUAUGCGUUGUAUGAGGUUAUAGCAACUAUCUAUCUGGUCACCGUUUUAAAAGAAUAAGACAAAGGGAAAAAGAGAAAGAAAAGAAUGAUUCGACAAUGGCAUUAAAGUUCAACAUACCCCAAGAUCUUGUAAUAAUGCCAUUAAUCAUUCUCUAGCUAGGCUAGCCUUAGAGAAAAGUGAAACUGUUGCACAGGUAGAAUCAAACCCCUCAGAGAUAUGAUGAGUUCGUGAUGCUUGCAUUUUAUUGAUGCUGAUGAUUCGUUGAAUGUUUUAUGUUUUUGAUUUUUAAGUAUUCCGGAUCGAAGUUUGUGUCUACGCGGAAAUUGUAAAGGCAGCAUAUAAAGUACUCGUCGUUCUUUAGAUUUUAUUGAGUACACUUUUGUCACAUUUAGCGUAUGCUAUACACUACUGAUUUGCGCAUUGACAUAUAUCUUAUUUUAUCAUUUUGAAUGAAUUACACGGCGAGGCUUAUCAACUUUGGAUGAAUCCUCCAAUUGUCACAGUCCAAGACUGGCUGCAGUGAGUGAAAAUUUACCCAUAUAUAUGCUGGCUAUUUUUAUUGGCGACGAAUUCGUUGUAGUUGGUCCAUCUUGCUAUUCUCGGACAAUAUUAGAGAAAAUAAUCAUAUUAUUUCGCGUGAUGUGACCUUCCAUAACUUAUCAAUUGAAUUACUGUAAAAUUAUUGUGUAAGUUUAGGCCCAAUGGCACUUUAGUUCAUCACAUGAUAGCCUGGAUUUAAAAGGAAAACUAUAUUGCAUUGCUUCAAAAAAAAAAUUUAAUGUUUUUAAUAUGAAUAUUUUUAACUAUAUUCAGUUAAAAUAAUAUAUUCUUAAUAUUAAUAUUCAUAGAUGAAAUUCUUUUGCGGAUUUAAGAAUAAAAUAUCAAAUAGUUUUAUUUUUCUUUUGUUGUGUAACUCGGACCGAAAAAGACAAUGAGCUUAACAUGACCCUCCUUCCGGCACUAUGCAUGUUUUUCUUAUAUUAAUGACAGUGCUCUUGGUGCUUCUCAUCUGCUUCUUGCUUUGGUUUCAAACAAGUCUUUCUCCGUCGAGACAUUUAUUGUAAUUUGAUUUGGAGACAUCUGUCGUUCAAAUAUAUUUCAUAUGCAAGCCGUUGAUAAUUCUGCUUGAGAAAGCCUACAAAGCAGCUGUGUGAUGUAAUAGAAGACUAUAUAUGCAAACGGUCAUCAGUUUCUCUUGAAUUCUUUCUUGAGUUUCUUUGAAUUAUUUGUGAAUGAGUUCUUAAUCGGCUGCUGCUCUUCAGGAAAAGGAAAGUGUUGCAAACUGGUGAAGCUGAUCGAUAAAAGCAAUGUACCAUCUUUGCUGGCAUGGAUCGAUGCCAGUGAGUUUUUUUAUUUGUCAACCUUUUUAAUAAUGCAUAUGUUUUUCUUCAACUUGAAGCGGCAUAUAAGACGAAAGAAGUGAUCUUUAAAGCAUUCUAUGGCAUUAUCCUUUCCUAUUAUAUAUAUCCAAUUGCUCCAAAUUAUUUGUAAAUUACUGAACACGAAUGCUGGUGAAUAAACUGAUGGCUCUAUGUAUGUAUGCACAUGCAUGGAGAAAUUUUAAGUCAGACAUUCUCAUAUAUAACUCGUGCUACCAAAUCAUUAAAUAAUCUUGAAAUCAAAGUAAUAAUUAAAUACAAAUAAAUUGCUCGAAUUGUACAUAUAUCUGAAUCAUGUAGUGAAGAAAAUACAACAACAACAACCAAUGGCUCAAAUUCCCCAUCAACUUCUAGUCUCAACACUUUUGAGUGUCAGAAGCAUUACUCUGCUACCAGUUAACAAACAUAUAAUUAGUAAUUAGCUAUUCACUUCCCUUUUAGGCCUACCACAUUUUCUACAAAGAAGCCAUAGAGAAUCAGCAGGAAACACUCAAUUUCAACCUAUGUAGGACCAGGAAUUUCAACCAAAAAAAAAAAAAGUGUGCAAUUGCUUAUCCUAUCCUAUUGCUACUAGAAAGAAAGUGAACAAUUAAUUUCAGUGAAUAAAUUAAAAAAAAAAUUACUUCUGCAGAUACUCAAGCUAAGAACACAUUAACCCAUUAAAGACUCCAAAUUGCAUCAAACAAAUUGUUGUUAAACAAGUAAAACAAAGAAAGAGAGUUAAGGAAGCUGACCUAGUAGUAGGGGAGCUGAAGAAAGACUGCCAGUGAAUGUAAGAGAAAAUAAAAUGCAAGAAAUGGUGAAGUGCAGCUUUUCAUGUCAACUUGAAAAUGAUUUUUCUGUUUUUUUUUUUUUUUUUUUUUUGUAAUCUUUUGGAUUUUUCAAACAAAGAAAAUGAGGAGCAACCAGGGAGAUAAAAAGGGCGCCAAGGCAACUGUGUGUUGGGUUUAGAGCCAAAAAAAAAAAAAAAGAAUAAGACAUCGUGUUCUUGUGGAGACCAGACCUAUUACGUAACGUCCCCUUCAAUACCACUUGUUCCGUAUCUGGUUUUUUCUUCGUCUUUUACAUAUUUAUCCUGUGAUUUUACAAUAACUAAAUAAUCCCCCCAUAGUUUGCAAUUUUAUUCAUUUGAGCCCUACAGAUUUCAGUAAUAGGAAUUAUUAAGGGACAAGAGCGCAAAACAGAAACUCUGUCCACUACUGAUGAUAUAACAACGAACCUUUGUUUUUUUCUUUUUCUUUUUUUAAAAAAAGAGUAACAAAAUAUCAUUAGACAAAUGAAAAUAUUAUCUAACAUCACCCUACUGAUGAUAUAACAACGAACCUUUGUAGUUUCUGCCUGUUAAUAUGAAUUGAUCGGGAGUGUUUCCUCAAUUAAAAAUUACGAAUUUACAAAAUAUGUAUGUAUGUACGUACGUAUAUAUGUAUGUACAUAUAUGCAUACACCUAUGUAACAUUUACUUAUCCAUUCUUUUGAGUUUAAAACUUAAUACACAUUUUCAUGAAAUUUUUUAUUUUAUUAAGUAUACAACUACAUUAAUGUAUAUAUUUUUUAUAUAAGACAUGCCGUCCUAUUAUUCGUAAGUAAAACAAUGUGUUGUGAAUAGUAUUCCGUGUUUUCUCAAAGUUGACUUUUCGUCUUUUAUUUUCAGACGCAGACGAUAUGUCAUUUUGUAAUCUUCCAAACAUAUACAGAGCUGAAUUGGUGUUAUCUGAUUUUGUGAUGCAAUGAUAUUUGCACUUCCUGUGCACUCAAUGGAAUCAUUUCUUUGUAACUAAUUGGGUGGUGGAAUCUAUCAAACUCCAGAAACAGGGAAACCAUGCCACGCUAGUAGACAAUAUGCUAGUUUUAACAAACUUGUUUGAAUGGCAAAAACGACAUGACCUGCUGUAGUAUUAGUUCUUUCCCGAACCAACGGGUGAUUUGCUACGUUGGAUCAUGAAAAUUGAAAAAAAAAAUUAACCAAAAUAAAAAUUCUUAAGGAAUUAGUUAGUUAAUUGAUUGAUCGAAUUUAAUCUAAAUUUGAAAAUGAUAAGAUAAAUUUAAAUUUAUUAUUAUUAUUAUUAUUUUAAAGUGGGUGGGUUUAUACAAUUUGAGCGGUGGAAAUAUCACUGCUGAAUUAUUAAAUAUACAGUGUAAAAUUUUGACCUUUAAAAUAUUCCCUUUUUUUUUAUUAUUUAGAACUAUAAGUUUAAAAAUUUAACAUUUUACCUCAAUAAUUAAAUACUUUUAACUUUAAUCUUCAAAUAUUUACCCUACAACAUUUGGACCUAAAUUUUUAAUCCGACUCGGCCCCUGACCCAAGUGGGAAGAAGAUCAGGCUUAUAAGUUAUAACUAUCACCAACAUAACAUCUUCUGGAAAAUAAUAAGAUUACUCACCUGCAAUUAUGUGAUCAAACUAAUGGUAAGCAAAAUAGAACAGCGUUAUUUCAGCCCCCUUUCAGUUUCUUUAUCAUUUUUCUUUUCCUAUUUAUAAGCUGAAUUCGGUUCAAAAUCGGCUAAUUCACUUUGAUUUCACUUUUCUUUCUUUCGGUUCAAAAAAAUUGAACCCAUUGGCUGUCAAUUCAAUUUUGUUGAAAACCAACUUUGCCUGAAUUUAAGUAAUAAUAGAGGAAAAAAACAAAAGAGUACUUAGCAGAAGAGAUUUCUCAUUUUUUUCUCAUUCAAACUUCUAAAAUAAAGGAAAAAAAAACAAGAGUAAUUGUUAAUUAUCAAAAUUUUGUUUAUACUAUUCCACCAAGAAAAUUAUAAAAAAAAAAUUUUAAAAAUUGGAGAAGAAAUAUGAGGUGAAAUACGUGGAUGGCUUAGACUAAUAAUGUGAACAAAUUCCUCUCGGAAACAUGUCAUUGUUCAUCCGGACAACACGCGGCGAUGAGAUUCAAGAAUGAAAGGAUAGGAAUCAACUGUAACCUCAUAAACAAAUGGGCUUGGAGUUGUAAACACCAAGCUCGGCAGAUUAAUUAAACAAAAAUAUCCGAAUUUUCUAUGAUAAUCUCUAGGAAACGAUCAGCUAUAAUGUACGAAAUUAAAAUAUUGCAUAUAUUUUUGAAUUUUUGAACUCAUGCAUUAAUUUCAAAAAUUAUAUCGUAUUAUAAUUUAUUCACAAAAGAAAGAAAAAUUCACUAAUCAAGUGAAAUCGUAUUCUUAUUGAAAUGAAUUCCAGUAAUUGGAUAAAUAUAAGUAUUUCUUCCAUUGUAAUUUUUGUUUAAUAGAAAAUCUAUUUGAGAUUUUGUGAGAAGAAACUCAACAAUAAAGUUUGAUAGACUUUGUGGAUAUUAAGAGUUUGACAAGUAAUUGAAAUCUGAAGUUUACUGAAGUUUACGAGCAAACAAACUGAAAUCCAAAGUUUACUGAAGUUUACUAUCAAGAGUUUCAAAACAGUGAAAAAGAUGAUAUAGUUGAUGACAGAAACCUGAGUUAUCCAUAGCGACAAGUAACAUACUGAAGUAAGCCGUUGGGAGCUGGCCUGUUCAUGGGCUAUUUUUCUCUGAUGAUCUGCAUUUUUCUUCCUUUUAAGUGAACCUUGACUCGUAUCAAACCUGUCAAAAGAACAGUUCAUCAACUGAGCUGAGAUUUGCUUUCCUUUUUCAAAACCCACCUGAGAUAUUGUAAUUCCCAAAUUUCUCUCUCUCAGCUACACGAGCAAGCAGCCGCUUUUUCACUUCAUCGAAGAAGGUAAGCGAUAUAUCUAUUUCGUCCGAUUGAUUUCUUGUUUCCUUUUCAGUGUUCGGGUAAAUUAUUGGCAUGCCUGACUUUUUGACCAUUACAUGAUUCAUAAAUUUAUAUUAAUUUUGAUUUUGAGUUGACCGGUUACUUUUAUAGGUUUGCUUACUUUGACUAGGUGACCAAUUUCUUGUAACUAAAUUUAUGACGUGAUGCAGGAAGCUGGGCAGGAUAUGAAAUGAGAAUCUUAUUAGUGGAAGGAUUGCCAGUAACAGAACCCAAAGAAAAUGAAACCAUUUCAAGGCAGCAGUUGGCAGUUGGGAGUGAAUGGAGGCCCCUGACAAAACUUCAGUAAACUUCAGAUUUCAGUUUGUUUGCUCGAAACUUGCAUGGUGACAAGGAUACUGACAAGGAUAAUGAGAUAGUUUUUGUGUGAAUGAAAUUACGACCAUCCUCAGCCUCAGGUAAUUUCUUCUCCUGCUUAGUUGUUAUUUGUUACCUAAUUAAGAAGCAUAAAGUAUCUUGAAUCAUUUUCGUUGUCUGGAAUAUAUGCAACAGUUUUUAAAAUUUUGAUAUCAGUGUAAUGAUUGUAAUUUCUGUUUUCUGUCUGUCAUCGAAUGUAAGGCAACUUUAUUAAGACUCUUGAACCGAGUCAUUUUUUACAAUUGAAGGACAAGUGCUGAAGAGUGGGAAUGCAAAAAUUUUUGUUGUUUUUAGCCUUGUUUUCUUUGAACCAGCGCCUGAUUCUCAAGACUCCAUUAAUUUGGCUUUUGAUCAGCUGAUUGAUAAAUGUUCAAUUUCUUUGGUGAUAAAUGUAUAUGUGAAGCAGGUAGCAGGGCAUGACUGUGGAAAAGAGAAGAUUUUAGUGAAAGCCGAGACUCAGAUAAUUCUACGCGUUUUGGCUGAUUUAUAUAAUUCGUGAAAUUUUAUUUCCGUCUGUUACAAGAUCAAACUGCAAUUAGCAAUUUAACAUUCCCUUAAAACCACUAGCUACAUUUCAUCUUUCCACAAUUACACUUAAAAUUCCACUAAAAGAAACUCUUGAGGUGCUCUGAUGAGCAUAUAAUAUAUACAUAUUUUACCCUUAAUUAAAUAAUUGCUAGUUAUAUUUAUUUGUUAUUUUUAAUUAAUUGAAUUAUUUUAUUGCAUAGAGAAUUAAUUGAAGAUUGGAAAUAAAAAGUGCAAAAAGAAUAACAAUUUAGGAGAAUAUUAGUUGAAGUCAUGACAGAGUUAAGAGCCAAGAGCAAUUUGCAUUGAAUUUUAAUUCUCCAAUUGAGUUGCACGUGCAUGGCAUUGCAAAAGUGGAAAGCAAUUUAAAUGGGGCCCACACUUGACUUUCAAAAGUGGAAUUAAUGGCUUAUGGUGGCGUUAUUAUGGAAGCUUUGUUUUAUAAUUGGAAAAGGAUUUUAAUUAGUAGACAAAGAGGAUUCGGUGGUUAAGCAUUAUAAAAAGAGCGUUUUGGCUUUUGAAUGAGGGGAGCCGCCAGAGGACGGAAACAAAAGGGCUGGAAGAGAGCAAUCGGUAGUAGCAAUAUUUCGGCUUCCAUGGCUGAUUUUAUUUCUUGUGUUGCUCUCAAUUUAAGUAUGUCUAGCUAAUUUUCUUAUGCUGAGGUUAAGGAUAAAACCCUAUUUAAUGAAAUAAUUAUCUUUUUAUUUAAUUAAUUCCUUAUAUAUGUUCUUUGAUGAUUAUGGUUUUUAUUUCACAUGAUUAAUUGGAUGUUAAUAAAAUCUUUUCAUCAAUUCUGUCAUGCAUUAUUGAUUGUUAGGAUUAAUAUUCGAUUAAUUCUAUACUUGGAUCUAUAAAGUUUAUACAUGAUUAUCUUUGAUUUUAUGUCUUUCAUUAAAUUGUUGACAUGGAGUGCUUAGGAAACUUUGACUCUUUGUUAUUCAAUAUGUUUACAUGAGAUUCUUAGAUGUCAUACUAUUAAGCAGAAAAAAACCUACAUAAGAUUAAUUUUAUUUGGGCUUAAUUGUUAUAUCCAUGAGAUGACAUAGAUAGAUUUCGAGUUGUCACUCUAAAAUUGGGGAUUAAUUAAUAAUUAGCUAAUUACUAGUUGAAUAGUGGUGGAUUCUGAAACCUUAGUAAUUUGUCUUAUUGAUUUCUCAUUUGCUUUAAUUGUUUUCUUAGUUUAAUUAGUUUAAUUUCUCUUAAAACUCAAUUUGCUCAACUAAGUUAGAAUUAAUAUUAAUUUUAGAUUUAAAUUAGACUUUUCAAUUUAUAACAAUCCCUGUGGGAUCGACCUCGUGCGCUUGCGAAUAUAUUAAAAUUUUCACAACAUGCUCGCAAGCUAUAUAUCAUUAUCCAUUGAAUUCUUACCACAUAUAUCUCACCUUUCAAUCAAUCACAUAAUAAUCAAUAUACAUAUUGUAAGAAUUCAACAAAUGGAGAACAUAAUAUACUAUAAAAGCAUCCAAAAUUUUUCCUUCUCAAAUUAUUACUAAACUUCUUGAACAAGUUGAAGAUUGGGGGGAAAAAGUGCAAGAAGGAAAAGCAUUAUUCUACUAGCUUCUAGAAAGCAAAAUACCUUCUGCUGAUUGCACAUUGGAAUGGGAAUAAGUUGGUAAACAUAUAAGUUACAUAAAUUAUUUUGGAUAAUUCUGCUGGUGAAUUAAUUAUCUUAAAAUCACCCUUUUAUUUUUAAAAAAAUCUUAAGUUAUUUUUCAUAUAUCUUAAGAAGACAAACAAACUUUCAUCGACUCUCCUUUUUUAGCUUUUCCCUUCAAUAAUGUUAGAAAUUCUAACAUUUGAGUCAUGCUUGAGCUUAAUACUAUAUAUCACUCAUUUAUUAGAUGUUGAAUUUUUUAAAUUAUAAAGUUAUUUGACUACCAUCCAAUGAAUGAAUGUCACGUCAUUUAAAACUCAAAGAAAAGUAUUCUACUUCUUGCGGCAAUCAUGCCUUCAUUCAGACUAUGAACCAUUUCCUUUCACCAAAUUCUUCAUAAACAUUGAGUAAGUUUCAUGGUUGGACAUAGUUAGCUUCUGUUUCUUUUGGUGCAUUUAGGUGCUAUCAAGUGACGGCCGUAAGUGUGAUUGCAUUAUUGGGAAAUUUUACGAUUUGAUGGUUCCCCACGUUAUUGCCAAGAAAGUUCUCAUGUCGGAAGCAGCGGUUCUUUUCAUCGGCCUGAACCCGAACCUGUCGCUAUGGAUAACUCAGGUUUUUGUCAUCAACUAUAUCAUCUUUUUCACUGUUUUGAAACUCUUAAUAUUAAACUUAAAGUAAACUUCAGAUUUCAGUUUGUUUGCUCGAAACUUGUAUGGUGACAAGGAUACUGGCAAGGAUAAUGAGAUAGUUUUUUGUGUGAGUGAAUUUUGAGAGCUUGAGUGUUCUGGGAUUUGCAAUUGCAAUCAUCCUCUGCUUCAGGUGAUUUCUUCUCCUGCUCUGUCUUUAUUUGCUCUCUAAUUGAAAAGCAUAAAGUAUUUCAAUCAAAUUCUGUACCAGGAAUACUUAAAAGUUACUGAUUCUUUAUUUCCAUUUGUUUGCAUUGAUAACUUGACGGCAUAUGUACUAGUUAAAAAACAAACAGAAGUAGAGUUUAGGAAAAAGCUUCUUCGGCCACCAUAUUUGAAAAUGAAACCAUUUCCUAGAAGCAGUUGGCAGCAAAUUCAUAUAAAGUGUACACAAUGAUUAGCAGAAAGGUGAUUCACAAUUUCAUUUUUUUUUUAAAUGAAAUUAUUUGUUAAGUUGGAGCUGAUAUUGUUAGAAGGCCAAUGAGCUAACCUAUGACACUGCUUGCCUAGAUUGCAGGAGGUCAAGGCUCAAAAGAAGCACUGAAUUUUAAAAGGCAUGCAAUAAUUCUUAUGGCCAUAAGUCAAUUCAUGUAAGUUUGAAUAAGUUUAAUGGUGGAACGCUUUAAGCUCCUUUUCCUUUCGUGCAUUUUGGGGUGCUAUCAAGUGAUCGCCGUAUGUAUGGAUGCACAUAGCUGCUGCUGGGAAAUGUGAGGUUUUCAUGGCUGGCCGUGUUAUUGUCUUAAAUUAGAUGUGAUAAGCUGUUGCUUGGAGAUUCUGUUGCCAAGACUUUGCUCACAUCAGAAGCUGUGGAACCU